UAUUGGAAUUAGAGUUAAGAAGACCUAGGUUCAAGACAUGUUUCUAACUUGAUGGCUAUAUGUGGCAAGAGAAACUCACUUAACCUUCCUUUUUUUUCAGUUUCUUCACCCCUAAAAUGGGAUUAAAAAUUUAGUUUACCCUUAUGCACAGAGCUGUUGUGAGCUUCAAGUGCUCUAUCCUAUGAAAAAUAGCCUUUUACAAAUAUUAUUCUAUAGUAGGCCAUAUCUUUAUAGUCACAUAAUUGGAACAGAGGAGGAGAGAAUUCAAGUUCUUACUUUGCUUAUUGUUUAUCAACACUAAAAAAACAUUUCAUUUGCAGAGUAAAAUACCCUUUUAAAAGCCAUCUGUAAUCUAAUUGUCAUGGUCUGAUGUUUUUGUCCAAGAAAAUAUCUCCCGUGCCUUUUUUAAAACAAUGUAAGAUUUCUUGAAAGAUACAAAACAGUUUGUUUCAAUGUAUUUCUCUGGUGAUUAAUAUUGAAUGAAACACAAAAUAUGGACUUGUUAUCCAUAUUGUGUAAGUUUCUGAGAAGGUCCAAGGGGAAGCAAUCUCCUCUGUAGAUCAUGAAGUUGUCCAGAUGCUUCUGAUUGUGAGUGACAUUCUUUUAACUAUAGUAAAAUCCAAACACUGCAAAGCCUCCUAAAUGAGGUCCAUAAUCACUUAAAAGAAUUCAUUUGAACCACUGAAACCAAGAAAAAAUAGCACAUCAAGAGCCUGUGCACUGACUUAACGUCAGAAGACCAUCUUAAACAUUUCCUGACUAAUUGAUGCUACUGGCUUUCCUCUUUUGAUUUCUCAUGUUUAGGUUGACUCUAAGUUGUUUAUUCUUAUUUGUUUGCAUGUUGUCUUCCCCAUCAGAAUGGACUCCUUGAGGGCAGAGACUUUUUUUGCCUUUUUUCAUAACUGUAGUGAUUUUAAACCAGUUUCUGGCACAGAGUAGGUGCUUAAUUAAUAUUUUCUGCCACAACUUGAAGAAGGCUUCUGACACAUUGGUUGGAAUCUCUGUUUUAGAUCUCUGGAAUGAUGUGGAAAAGAUUCUCAAAGAAUAAGAAAAAUGGAUGGUUUGUGAUCUACCCACUUUGAAGGAUUAUUCUCAUUAAUAAAUUUGCAGAUCAUCAAAAUAAGGAUAUAUUGAAAUCUAUAUUGGUCUCAGAAGUAGCAAUUGCUUACUUCAGAAAUAUUUUCUAUUUCCGUGGGUUUAUUUUUAUAUAUUUGAGUGUUAUCAGAAAUUACAUUACUUAUGAAAAAGUAGCUCCUGUUUUGCCACCAAAAUCUAGUUUGCUACAAUGCAAUUUAUCAGGCAACUUAGUUCAGAAUUCUUAUUAAAAUGAAUGGGUUUUUGUAGGGGGGAAAUCAGUGGCUAAAAGCUGUCAUUGGUGUAUUGAAGCUUCUUUUUUAAAAUGUGCUUCUUUGUUGACAACUUGGCAUACCCUUUCUUAAUAUGUUGGCAGAAGAGGAUAAUUAUGUGUCUAUGCCUCUAGGGGCUCUGAAAUCUUAAGAUUCAUUGGGAGGGAAGACACCAAAUAAUAGUCAUGAUGUUGAAACCAGUGAAUCUCUUUUGCUUAGAAGUUGACUCUAUCAAAUAUAGUUUGUUUUUUUUUUCCUAUAAAAGAUGUUAAAUGAUACUUGAAUUACUAAGAAAGUUAAGCUUUUUUAAGACCUUAUUAAAACUGAAAAAAGAAUCACUCAACUCUUCUAAUUACUACAAUUUUGUAAAUGUUUUAGACUUGUAUUUGGUAAAGAAUAAAAAGAAACUUUAUUUUAAGAUUUGUUUAUUUGGGCUAAAAUGCCAGUAUUGUAUCUAUCUAGAAUGAAACAUUUGUUUGUAAGUUUUCAAUUCAGAGGGGCUGUUGUUUAAAAAUCUAAUGUUCCUUAUUGUGUUUCCAAGGGGAAAAAUGUGAUAGCAAAUUCCCUAGUAUAUAGCAUGGUUUGUCCUCCUACCUACCCUCCCCACCAACACACACAAAAUAAUGCAUACAUAUACUCUAAUCCUCAUAAUUAGCUUGUUGUUAGAGGUCUAAAUAAGAGAGAAAAACUCCCACUAAAUAAACAGGUGCUCAAAGGACUUGUUGUUCAUGAUAAAUUAUACAAAUAUUUUCAGAUAUUCAUACACAUUCUUAUGAUUCAGAGAUGAAUUUGUUAAAAAGAAGGAAUCUUAUACCAAAAUUAAAAGAUAUUUUAAAAGAGUUACCCCACCAAAGUGUUUUGGUGUUAAGAUAAAAAUUCAAUAGCAGAUACUUUUUCAAAAAUAAAAAAUUAUAUUGAAUUUACUCAUGUUGAAAAUAUAUCAUCUACCUGGAACAAAAUUAUUGCUAUAGAUUUCAUUUUGCCAACUAUAUAUAUGUAUAUAUAUAUAAUCAUUGCACUUAAAUUAUUUUUUUGUCAGAGCUGUAUCCUCACAAUGAAUAAUUUUGUAAACAUAUUGUUGCUUUGCUCAUUUUCUUUUUUACUGCAAUAGCCUCUUUUAAUAAAUACCUGAGAAGUACUAUUUAGAUUUUUGAUUCCUCGAAAUUUCUUGUAGUAUUUCUCUUUUAAAAUACUUUUAAUUUUUAUUUUAAUUUUAGUUUAUUUAGAUAAAUGGUCAGCUAUUAGCCUAAAAAGGUGAAUCAUAAUAAUAUUUUCCAGCUAUAUUCAGGACUUUCUUUUUAAGUGACAGUUUAAAUGUUUAUAGUAAUAAUUUAAAGAAUAAAUCCUAGUACAUUCUCAUUGCCACAAGUUGCCAAGAAUCACGACCUAAAGUUACCCUUUUUAUGCAGAGAAAAUUAAGAAUGUUUACAUCUCAAUAGAUCUUUCAUUAUAUACAUAUCACAUGUGUAUUGUAUGUUUUUAGUAAAUAUUACAAUUAGAUGAGAUAAAAAAUAUUUAAGGAGGAAUUGGGUUAGAAACUUCUUUAACUGCUGGUCUUUAAGGGAAAAAAUGUAUUUUCUUAAAAUCCUUUUAUUUACUCCCAGGUCCUGAUACUCUUUGUGGGGAAGAUGCUGAAUGAACUUAGCCAUUUGUUGAAACAGACUGUAUAACAUUCAUAUUAAAUCUAGCCAAAGCCUACUUCAAGGUGAUAGCUCCAUGACAAUAUGGGUUACUUCAUAAACAUACCAAUCCAAUGCUAAUACUCACCAGGUAGGAGAAUACAGAAAUUUCUAGGUAGCUCAGAUGUUAAUUUUUAAUAUAUUUAAAAUUCUAUUGAUCAUUUCUAGUUCAUUUUUUCUGAAUUAUUACCCGAAUUUUAUCACAGAACUUUUUUAUGAAUUCCAUUUUUUAAAAUUGUUCCAGUGAUAAUUACCAAAGAGCAUAUUAGGGCAUCUGUACAGACCACAAGAAAAGUGGCACAAAAGUCCAUCUGCUCAACAGCUAAUAGCAAUAUUUGGAGGCAUCAAACGCCAUUAUUAAUUGACCUUGGCAACUUGGUUUUAAAAAAAUCUUUCAUAUGCAUUUUAGUGCAGAUGGUGAUCGCCCCAGAACUGUUGCUUCAAGCCAGAGAUCACAAGCUAUUUUAAAAAGAGCAUAUCCCUCGACAUUCUUCCUACUGAUCAUGGCCCAUUAACAGUACUAAACUCCAGAGGGAGAGUGGGGCUAGUCAAGAACUCUGCUUGGCUGCUUCAGGGCAGAGCCAGUAUUCUGCAGUCUAUUGCACUAAUUAUGCACUCUUGAUGAGAUCAUUAGAGGACAAUAAAGGAAAAUGAAAACAGUUUGCAAUAUGUGUGGACAAAUUUUCACAAAGAAGAAUUUCAGAUUUGUAUUUAAAUGCUGAGUAGAAAUUUCCCAUUAUGAAAAAGGUCAAUAAUUUCUUUAAGUUAAAUCUUUCAUUUUCAGUUGGGCAAUGUAGUAGGAGAUAGAAAAAGCAAUUGGAGUCAGAAAGACCAGAGUUUAGGUCCCAUGUCUAAAUUUUAUUACUAUUGUGAACAUGGAUGGGCAAAACACUUAACCUAUCCAAACCUGUUUCCUGUCAUUGAAAUAAAAAUGAUGACUGUAUUUACCUCACAGUGUUGCUUUUGAAGGUCAAAUGAGAAAGCAUGUGUGUAGCAUCUGAGGAUUAAAUGCUUCAGUUGAUGUGAUUUGGUGCUCACCACAUGAAAGACCACAUUGUUUUCCCUUGGUAUUUUUAUCAAGUUGUUGCUGUUCACUCAUUUUAGUUGCUUCUGACUCUUUAUGACCCCAUUUGGGAUCUUCUUGGCAAAGAUCCUGGAAUGGUUUGCCAUUUGCUUCUCCAGCUUAUUUUACAUGUGAGGAAACUGAGGAAAAUAGUGUUCAGUGACUUGCUCAGGAUUGAAGAGCUGGUAAGUGUUGGAGGCCAGAUUUGAAUUCAGGAAGACAGAUCAUCUUGACUCCAAACCUGGAACUCUAUCCACUUACACCACCUAACUGUUGUAUUUUUCCUUUGUUAUUUUUAUAAAUAAGUACCUAUGUACUAUUCUUUUCUGCUUAAAUCUAAGUUGAAGAUGGGUAGGUAGAAAAGAGAUAGUGUAAAUGAAAUUAAAUGAACAUUAAAAUGGAAGCCAAGACCAGAGCUGUUCCUACACCUUCUUUCUCUCGGAGGGCCAAUUUCUUUCUUUAUAAAAUAAGAGUGUUAAAAUAAAAGAUCCCAAAGUUUCUUCCACCUCUAAAAUUCUACACAUAUCUGAAGUCCUAGAUAAUCCACUCAAUGAUUUUUCUGUAUUUCCUUUAAAAAUCCAUGUACAUCUUGAAUUUCCACUGAAUGGUCUGUCAGUGAAAUUUAUGUUCAGAAAGAAAUGUCACAUUUCUUUAACAAAAUCUCCCCAUUCAAGUUACAAUUAUAAAAUAUAUGCUAUAAUUACAUAUUUUGUAAUAUGGAAUACAGAAUUUUGCCCUUAUUUCCAAUUUAAUCAUGUCAAUUCUUGGAAUUCAAAGAAGAAGAAUGUUCUCAUACUUUCAGAUCUUUCAUCAUUUUACAACUCAAAGAAUUCAAAAUAAUAUAGGCAAAUUGGAUGAAUGGCCCAAUUAAAUUGGAUGAAAGUCAAUAAAGACAAACACAAAGCAUUGCCUUGGCAAGUAAUAAACCCAUAAAUACAAAAGAAAAAAGACAAAUGGUUUUAUUUUAUUUUAUUUAGUAUAAAAGAAAAAGAACUAGAGGGUUUAGGUUAGUGAAAGCUGAACAAGCAGUAGCAGUAAAGUGCCGAUGAGAAUAUUCACUAUUUUAUGGAAUGUCCACAAUAAUGUCAUGUAACAGAUUUACCCUUUGUGUGUCAUUGAAAAAAGUGCUAUAUUUAGCCCUGAGGAUGAUGUGAUCUCAGAGGAUAAAGAAGAGAGUCCCAGAAUAAAAAGAAAUUAGGUCAUUAUGAAAAAAUGACUGACCAACAGCUUAGUGCUUGCCAUAUAAUAGGUGCUUAUUAAAGACUUGUUGAUUUAUUCAUUAAGUCAGUUCAUUAAUGAACAUUUAUUAAUUGCCUAUAAAUUGCCAAGCACUGGAGUUACCAAGAAAGCUUAAAAAGUAGCAGGGAUGGGACCAGCUAGGUGGUUCAGUGGAUAGAGUGCUGGACCUGGAGUCAGGAGGACCCAUCUUUCUGAGUUCAAAUCUGGCCUUAGAUACUUACUAUCUGUGGGACCCUGGAGAAAUUGUUUAACUCAGGUUGCCUCAGUUUUCUUAUCUAUUAAAUGAGCUAGAGAAGGAAAUGGCAAACCACUCCAGGAUUUUUACUACGAAAAUUCCAGAUGAAGUCACAAAGAGUUAAACAUGACCAAACAGCAUAGAAACAUGUUUUCCAGUCAAAAUGGUCUAUUCUUGGAUCUAUCAUAUGUAUUUUUUAAACUAUACCUUUGCUUCUUCCUUUCAUUCAUUCUCUAGAACACUUCUCCAUGAAUCCUUCAAACUCAAUUCCAGCCUCCUCCAUGAAACCACAAGGAUCUCUUUUUUCCUAAAUUUAUUACAGUCAUCAUUUGUAUAAUUCAUUUGGCAUUUAAUCUCAUUCUGCCUUAUGAUAGCUUAUAUUGUUAUAUGAUGCAUAUUUGUAUUUAAUACCUUCAUCAACUCCUUAACCAUAUUAACUUCCUGAGUUCAGGAGCUGUGUUACAUUUUCUUCAUAUCUUGCAAUGCCUGGCAGCAUGCUAUAGAUAUAGCAGGUGCUUAAUAAGUGUUUGUUGUACAAGGGAAAUUGUAUUUCCUUUCUCAUAAGCAUGUAUUACAUUAUUAAACUUAUGCUACUUGGCAGAAUGAAUACUCACUAAUUUUCUCAGAUUCUAUGCCACAUGACAAGUAAGUUAUCCAAGAAAACAAAACCCAUUUUCUUAAAGGAAUGCUUCCUUUAAAUGCAUAAACAAUUGUCCAGUUCUCUUCUCAUGACUUAUUUUGUUGUCAGAAGGAAGAUGCAGAACCAUUUCAUGAUUCUCUGUACUUUCACUAAUGAAUGAAAGCAUAUAAUGACUAUCCCAUAGCCAAUGAUAUUCCAUUGUUUCAAAUACUAAUCCUUAGUGGUAUUUGUAAUACAUUCUUAAAAAUACCAUAGUGAUGGGGCAGCUGCCACACCUAGAGAUGAAAGUUCCUGAGUUCAAAUCUGGUCUCAGACCCUUCCUAGCUAUGUGACCCUGGGAGAGUCACUUAACCCCAAUUGCCUAGCCCUUACUGCUCUUCUACUUUGGAACCAGGAGUUAGUAUUGAUUCUAAGACAGAAGGUAAAGGUUUGUUUGGUUUGUUUUUUUUUUUUAAGCCACCAUGAUGAAUCAACAGGAAAAAAAAAGUUGUUUUCAGGAAAAGACUGUCAAUUAUUUGAUAUACUUGUAGGUUCAAAUUCUGUCAUCUCUUAUUAAUUUACUGCAGGACAUCAGACAAUUGUUUUAACCCCUCUUCCCUGAUUCUGUAUGUGUGUAUGUGUGUGUGCAUGUGUAUUAAAGCAGCAAGGGGCACUGUUGCACAACUAUAUGAUCUUAUUUAUUGUGGAAAGCCAGGAUCUGGCAGGGCUAUGUUUACUCCAAAUAUUAUGUGCUCCAUUUAGCACCAGAGGUCAUUUAGUGAAGUGAAUGGUGAUGCUCAGAGAACUAGUGCAGUCUAGUCCCUAGUUCUGCCUUUUUAGGGAAUGAAAAUCUUGUUAGUCUAUAGAUAUCAUCUACCUGUGUUUAUCUAAUUAAUGUCUUUGGUUUAGUUCUACCUUUCAGAAAACUCUGCCCUCUUUCCUUCCCUGUUAUAUUUCAAUGGACUCCUAUCUCAUGAGAGUAAUGGAAUUAAGAAAUGUAAUCACAGCUCGAAUGUGUACAAUAGGCUCUUCUUAUUUACUUAGAAGCAGAAGGAAUGAAGUUCUAGGGACUAAAAGCAAUUACUCUUUGAUCUGUGUACUUCUCAAACCUAAGAAAAUGAAAACCAAUCCAUUGGUAUGCCCCAAAUCCAGGAGUUACAGAGAGAGUUUUGAAGCUUAGACUCAGACUAUCAACCAUCAAACACUAAUUGUCUGUUCACUGCUAGUGUUGCCAUAAAGUACUCUGAAGGUCAGAGAGACUCGUCUAGUAUCUCCUAUUUCUCCCCUUUAAAUUUCCUUCCUCCAAUCUCUGCAUAUCGGUUUUUGUGUGGUUCCAGCAUUGCUUGUGUAUGUAUUUUACUGAUCUAGGGAACUCUUGGGUGUGGCACUCCUUACCUGCUCUGCAACUUAGUUUUAGUUGCCUGGAGUCCUAAGAAGUUGUGACUUGACUAGGAUGAUAUACCCAAAUAUGUCAAAUGCAAAACUUGAACAUUGGUCAUCUGAUCCCAAAGCAGUUCUCCAUCUAGUAUGCCAUGCUAUCUCCCUUGCUGCCUCACUAUUGACAAUGGAAUUCUCAAAAGUUCUGAUGUUCUCAAAAUCUGGCCACAAAAAUUGAUUUUUGUUUGUCUAUAUCAAAUGGUUGUAAGGGGGAAACUACUUCUGAAAAUAAAAGAGUAAGCACAAAUAUAGCUCAUCAUUUUCCCAGGUCAUCAGCUAUAUAAAUGAAAUUGUGAUUUCCUGAAUGAUAAGGGUUACUCCAUAUACUUCCUUUGUGUUCCUCACAGAACCCAUCACAGUUCCAAAAACUUAUUGCUUCAAUAAACAAUAGCAGGCUUAUUAAAAGCUAAAUAAAUGAAUAAAAUAAAAUCUUAGAUCAAGAGUAGAAGUAGCAGUAUUUUUAUCAUUUAUUUACUCACCAGUCAUUACCUUGGUAGCUUUAUACUGGGAAAAAAAGAAGCUGAAAGAACUCUUCUGCAGUAGAAAGGGAAUUGUAUGACCUUGAUGAGGUCACUCAUCCUCCAUGGGCCUCAAUUUCCUUAUCUGUAAAAUGGAUUGGACUAUAUUGACUCUGAGGUCACUUCCAGCUCUAGCACAAUAAUUCAACAUUACUUAACUACAAAGAAUAGGAAAUGGAUAAGAGAGAAAGGAACAAGAGAAUUAGAGCCAGCAUUUUCACAAAUGUGAUAGAGUAGGAGAAAUGGAUCUUAGUAAUUCACAACUACAGUUGAACUUGUGUAUGCCUUGUUGAACUGAACCUCUAAACCUCUUUCACCCAUCAUUAAUUAUGACUUCAGAUGAGGAAAAGCAAUAUGAGCUGAUGAACCCUUUAAAGAGCAAAGAAUUCAUUUUCAUGCAAAUAGCCCUGGUAAUAAAAAUCAGAAGAUAAAAGUGGGAAAAAUAAAAUGAGGUAGGAUGUGUUCCAGAGAAAGGUACUAUAAUGUAGGGUGUUACUUAGAAUUGAAUAGUUGGCAGCAAUAGCUUCUUAAGUUGAUGUUUUAAACUUUAAAAAAAAUUUUAAUGCACUGAGGAAUAGGCAGAAUAUAACCCUGAAUUUCAUUGCCUCUGUAGAAUCUCAGGUCUUUAAAAUGAUUUAAAUAUGCAAUUUUGUAUUAAACUUAUUGGGAAACAAACUUACAAACUUAAAUGGUAUACGGAUACCAUCAGCCAUAUCAUUAAGAUGGUAGCAGCCUUGCUAUUAGGGAGCUGUAAACUAUCAGCCUUUUACUUCAUUACUAUUUUCAAGCUGAAAGUCCUUUUCCUCUUCUCUUUAAGUUACAUCAAUGCAUUUUAGGGCCAAGGAUAAGCAUUUCAUAUUAUUAUCUGUGUUUCUGUGGCAUAUAGUAGGUGUGACUCAUGACACCAAAUCUUGAUGCUUUACUAUUGCUCUCCAGUAUUGCUCAAUUGCAGGAAAUUUCUGCAUUCUAAAAAAUGUAAGUUUUCCUCCAAAACCAACUGAAAUUCCUUAAGUUUGAUUAUUUAAAUUUGAAGAAGGAAAACUCUGAGGCAGCAUUGUGAAUUUUCCCUCUGAAAAAGCGAGAUUUCAUUUUAUCAGUUGUAAUGGAUGAACUAGGUAGGCACUGGUUGGUUAUAUUAAUGGACCAUGGAAAAUCCAAUGAUAUCUCAGAUUUGUCACCUUUUCUUUUUGCCUCGGCACAUUUUUGGAAAGCACUGAAAUUAGAGGAUGACAAAUGAAUUUAGGGCUGGCAAAUAGGGAAGGAUUCCAUAAGGUCAGAUUAAAAGACCCAAACUGGGAGGGGAAAAAAAUCAUUUUAUUUAGCUCCUAAGACCUACAAAGCAUAGGAAAUCCUGAAUUUCUAAGCAGAAUGUGUUCCAAAAGUUCAUUUGUAAUGCCACUUGUUUGGGACUUGGAACAUAUUUUGCAUAUAGAUACUGUUACAAAUGGUGCUACAUUUUCCAGGCUAAUGUAGAAAAGCCAAAUAGGUGUAGCUGAAAUAUGGUGGCCUCUCAUUCCCUCGCUCUCCAGGAUUCAGGCAAUCUUCUCUAUCACCAUGGCCAGACCUGGUAUUUAUCAGAACUCAAAAGUCAAGGAAUAAAGCAGCUAUGUGACUCAGUGGGUUUGAGAGUCAGACAUAGAGUCAAGAAGGUCUGGAUUCAAAUAUGGCCAUAGAUACUUCCUAGUUGUGUGAUCCUGGACAAGUCACUUAACCCCAAUUGCCUCACCCUUAUAGUUCUUCUGCCUUAGAACCAGUGCUUAGUAUCAAUUCCAAGACAGAAGGAAUGAAUUUUUAAAAAAUCAAGUGUUUCUGUGUGUGCACAUGUGGGUGUGGACUCUAAAAUCAGAAGACUAUGGUUCAAUCCUUGGUUCUUUCACUAAGUAGCUUUUGAGAAGUUAAACAAGUAUCCCAGUAAUCUCAUAGAGUUAGACCCUCAGUUUUGUCAUUCACAAAAUGAUGAUAAUACCAUUUGUACUAUUUACCUUAAAUUGUUUUUAUUUUUUUAUUUUUAAAUUUUUAAUUAUAAUUUUAAAUUUUAAUUUUUUUUUAAUUUUAAAUUAUAAAUUUUAAAUUAUAAAUUGUAAAGUUGCUGUAUAAAUUGGGUAUCAGUAAAUAACUCUCUAAGGUCUGCAAAGUGCUCAACAUUUUAUUUCAUUUGAUCCUGGCGGGUAUACAAGGCAGGCUCUAUUUUUAUCCCUGGCUUUUUUUUCAGAUAAAGUUAUUGAGGCUAUGAGAGGUUAAAUGAUUUGCCUGGAGUCCCAAGGUUAAGUAAGUGACUGAAGCAGGAUUUGAACUCUUGGGUCUUCCUUACUGAAAGUCCAGCACUCUAUCCACUUAACUUAGCAACAACUUACCAACAUCUGUAUAAAUAAAAUAUUUUAUAUUAUAAAUAUCAAUAAGGAUUCGUUAUUCCAUUGGUGUGGGUAUGGGUUCCAGAAAUAUGAAUUUUAACCUCCUUUUGCUUUGAGAAAUAUUCUUUGUGAGUUUCUGUGGAUGGAAAGAUUUUAUCAACCAGUAGACAAAUUUCUGGUGACCAGAUUCCCCUAACUUAACCAGACUGCAACUAUGGUAACCACUACAGAAGACUGUGCCAUCUGGUCUGUAAGUUAUGCCAGAGCUUGCACUGCAGUGGCAUAGCCUUUAACAAUACAGGGUCACCCCUAAAGCAAGAUGAGAAGUAUUCUCCACAUAGGGCAUUUAUUUAAAAAAAAAACACCUCUCAUUUUCAUUCUUUAUUCUUUGUUGCUGAUAAUAUGAAGAAUCUCCCAAAUCUCAAGUGCCCCAGUGUCCAGAAUUCCUUGAUUUAACAUAAAAUAUGAUAUCUUUUAGAAAAAUGUCAGAAACUUCCCCCACAUCCUAUGAGAUAUCUAGGGAAUCCGUAUAAGAGUUUGUCACACCAAGUUAUGCUUCUGUGAUUCUCAUCCUCAUAUACAUGCUUUUUUUGGUAGAAAAUAGUGCUCCAUCACAUUUAAGGAUAUAAAUUCCUUGAUAAUGCUCUGGAAUUAUUUUUUUCAUUUCUUCAUAGCUGCCAUAGAUCCCCAUGGAUGAUUCACAAAUAUUAAUAAUAUUUCCAAAAGUAAGCAUGCCUUGGACUUAGGGUGAUAUUCAUGAUACUUGCUUAAGACUGGAAUUCCUUUAAGUAUGUACUGACAUAAUACUCAGGGAAAGUUUAUUUUAAAAUGAAUUGGGGCUGGACACCACUUGAACAUUAAGCUCUGCUUUACAGCUGCUAGCAUAUUAUAGAGAGUCAAUAAAUAUUUACUGACAGGAAACCCCUUGGAGUAUAUAAACUGUGUGCUCAGCUUUGGUUCUUGAAUGACUAUCUCUUCUUUUCUCCAGUGAAUGCCAAAUUUAGCACAAGAAACAGUAACAAUGAACAAAAUUUUCUGAAUCAAUGAACUCUACUUUAGAAGUUUAUUGGACACUUUGACAAGUUACAUCAAUACUUUUAGGUGAGGAAUUGUGGUGUUUAGUAGAAAAAACUCUGAAUUUAGAAUCAGUCAUUGGUCCAUUUACCUAGUCGGUUUUUUUACUUCCUGUGCCUUGAGCAAGUCAUGUAAUCCAUCUUAAUUGUCCUCAUCUACAGAAUGAAGGACUUAGCCAUUUGGAAUUAUACUAAAUUAUUUAAAAUAUGUAUUCCCUAUGUCCUAGAAGUCUCACCUAUAACCAUACACCCUGAGAAAGUCAAACACAGAAAGAAAUAUUCAUAGCAUGACUUUUAUGACUUCCAGACAACUGGAAACAUAAAAGUUUCCUACUAAUUAUAUUAAAUUCUAUUAAUGUAACUGAAAAUUACUAUUCCUUAAAAAAGGAAUGCAUAAGAAAAGUUCAGAAAAGCAUGAGAAGAUAUAAAAAUGAUGCAGAGUGAUGUAAACAGGACCAGAAAAAAAUAAUGUGCAGAGACUGCUAGGCAGCACAGAGGAUAGAUCACCAGACCUGGAGUGAGAAGGAUCCAUGUUCAAAUAUAGUCUAAGAUAUUUCCUAGCUGUGUGACCCCGUGUAAGUCACCUAACCCCAUUUGUCUAGCCUUUGCCCUUCUAUCUUAGUCUUGACAGGAGAGAUAAAAGUGUGCACAAAAACACUUGUGCGUGAAGGAGAUUUAAGUGGAAAAGUCAAUGCACAGAGACAGUCCCACUCUCUCUCGGCAUUGGAAGCCUGGGUCCAGUGGCAUAAAAAGUCGUUACACCUGGAGACGAGAUGAGAAAAUAGACCCCCUUUCCUUCUUAGUGGAUAUAGAGUAGUCUAUGGAAACAUAUGCUGUAAUAUUUGGAUGAUGUAUUGGUUAGUUUUUUUUUAACUUUUUAAAUAAAUGAAGAUGAUAUAGAAACAAAAUAAAAUUUACUAGACAAUUGAAACAGAAAAUCUUUAUAUUCCCUUCUAGCUAUAAAUUAUAUAUUUCUAUGUAAAAAAAGUGAGGGGAAACAUUUUUAAUAGUCAGUAAUACUUGAGUUUUAAGUUUUGCCUCUAAUAUAUAAUGGCUGUAUAUGAACAAGUCACUUCAGAUUCCAAUUUAACUAUAUUUCCCAUAUUAUUUAAGCAAAUGGUCUAUUUUGGACAUAGCUCUAGGCAUUGGAAUUCCAUGUUUUUCCUUGAUAAGACUAUAUACUUCCAUAUUCUUUCUUAGCUUUCCAUGCUUCCUACACUCACCUAAUAAUAGUCAAUAAUACUCAUAUCUCCACUACUACAAUUUCUUUUUGCUCCGAUCUUUUUCAGUUAGAUAGAAAGAGGCUCUUACACCAGACCCAUGACUGUCUCUUCACUAUUCACUUUCUUCAUUCUUGCAAAACUAUCUUUUUCAUCUACUUAGUAAAUUGUGAUACUCCCCUAAAGACCUCUCUUCAGGUUGCAAUAAAGAUUUGCCUUGAGUCUCAAAAAAGAACUUAUUAAAUACUCUUGUAUACUAUAGAAGUAAUGGUUUGAAAAAAAAAACUUUAUUACUGUUCACAAAGUUUUGGUUUGCAAUAAACUUAGGAAAGAAAAAAAAUGCUCUGACCAAUUUAAUAAUCAGGAAACUGUGGUGAUGAUUUAACUAUGAAUACUUUAAAUAUAUCUCUUCCAAGUCUGUAACUACAGUCUAGAUGACAGAGUUCUUCAUUCUGCAUCCUUUCUGUACCACAAAGUAUCUUGUCAAGUGUAUUUCAAAUCCAGGGUAUUUAAUUUAACUCAGUUCCCUCAAUUAUAUUUAUAUUGCUCUUCAUGCAGAGUUUCACAAUCAUGAUUUAAAAUAAUAGGGGUGGUGACCUAUGUAGAAUAAUUAUUCUUUCCUUUUCUUAUAUUCUAUUUGCUAAAAUUUCAUAGAGUAGAUAUUUCUUCCAUUUUCUGAAAAUUAGUUAAAUAUCAUCUUUUUAAUUAGCAUAUAUUGUGUGUUCCUGGACAUUUUAAUAAUUAAGUUAAACAUAGGAAAGUUAGCCAUUAUAUAAAUUAAGUUCAAUCAUUCCUUUGCCCCCUAUUUCACAGUAUUCAUUCUGAUUCCCCAAUCUCAAUUUAGAAUUAUAGAAUUGGAGGUAAUUAUACCUGGAUACCCUAUUUGAUUGUCUCAUUGAAAAAACUCAAGAAACCAGAACCUGCUCUUCUAGAUGCAAGAAAGUUGAACAGCAUUCCUCCCUCUUCCCUUUUCCCUCUCUUUGAAAAAUUUUUUAAUCCAACAUUCAUUCAUUAUUUUAAAAACCUAAAAAGUAUAUGGAUGAAUUUUUCCCUUUAACACACAUAUAUAUAUAAAUAUAUAUAUAUGUGCAUAUAUAUAUAUUAAGCUAAACAUUGUGUAAUGGAAGAACAUAGAAGCAUUCUCACCAAAUAUAGGUGCAAAAUAAAUUAUGACAAUUGUAGUAGAACCAGAGAGAUGUAGUAUAGAAAUCCAGAGAUUAAAAUGUCAUCAUUUGUGCAUUACUUGAUAGUUUUCCUAGAAAAUGCCUUUAUCUUUAGCAGAAAAUUAGUUGAAACAAUAAAUGGAUUCAAGUGGUGUCACAGUAAUCCACAAAAAAAAAAAAAAUCUCACCCAAAACAAUUGACUAGGAAUAAAGUUGAAAAAAAAAAAGAUGACUAAAGAUAUGUAUUUAUAAAAUCAAAAAAGCAAUCAUAUUUGAAAAUUAACUUAUCUAUAAUAACAUACAACCUUUGCCAAAGUAACAAUCCUAAAGCAUGGUGUAUUUUUCAUUAGAUUAAAUUUUUUUUCAAUCAAUGUUCUUCUUAUAAUUUCAUAUGCCUGCACUAAUUGAGAAAGGAAAAUAAACAAAGCCCUUCAUACAAAUAUGUAGUAAAUCAAAACAAAUUUCCUCAUUCGCCAUGACAAAAAAAAAAUCUAAAUUUGCAUUUUGAUUCCAUCAGUUCUCUUUUAGGAGAUUGAAAUCAUGUUUCAUCCUAAGUCCUUUAAAAUCAUGGCUGAUCAUUGCAUUUAUCCACAUUCUAGAAUCUUCCAUAGUUGUUUAUCUUUAAGAUAAUGUUUUUAUUGUAUAAAUUAUUAUCCUGGAUCUCCUCACUUCACUGCAUCUGUUCAUAGACAAACUUUCUGGUUUUUUCUGCAUUGUCCCUUUCAUCAUUUUUAAUAGUAUUCCAUCAUGUUCAUAUACCAUAACUUGAUCAAUCAACCAACUGAUGGAUAACUACUCAGUUUCCAAGUCUUUGAAUUGAGCUGAAAAGAGCUACUAUAAAUAGUUUUGUACAUAUAAGUCUUUUCCCCUCUUGUUUAAUCUUUUUAGAGAUGUGAUGUUCACCUAAUCUUGUUUAUUUCCCUUUCCCUUUUAACUUGCUCCUGCUAGUAAGAAAGAAUUCAUGAUGGGUAAAAUAUAUCUGGUAAAUUUUCCAUGGUAUAACUUCAAUGUAUAUAUAUAUAUAUAUAUAUAUAUAUAUAUAUAUAUAUAUAUAUAUAUAUACAUGUACAUGUGUAAUUUCUAUAUCUCAAAAGCAUCUAUAUGGUCCUAAAGGUUUUCUGAUUGUAUUAUCUAUCAUAUUCCUGCCUCAGCCACUUAACCCAACAUUUGUCUCUCUGGCUCACAUUUAAAUCUUAUUCCCAACCUAAGCUCUAACUUAAAUAAUUGAUAUCUAUUUACCUCUUCAUUCUUCCUAAAUAUUAAUUUUCAAUUUAUAGCCUACCAGUUCUGAUCCUUCGUCUUAAACAAUGAACCUCUACUCUUUUCCUAAGAUUUAACCUUAAGUUAACUCUGUAUGCAAUACAAUCCACCUAUGCCAUAGAGCUGGUGCUUGGAAGCAGCAGGAGAAGAAGUCAAGAGAACAAGGACCAAGGCAAACAGAGGCAUAAUUAGGUUAAAGCAGAGUUAGAGGUUAAAAGGGUCCCUUGGAUUAAGUAGAAGCAAUACUGUAAAUUUGUGUAACUACUAAAAGAAAGUGGUUUACAAAUGUGAGGACAGAUUUAGAGGCAAGACCUUCACAGGUAUUUAUCCUGUAGAUUUGUUUCUUUCAAUAUAGAUCCAUCUUUAUCCCUAUCCCCUUCAUGCUUUCUGUUGGAGCUCUCAGUCUAUUCCUCAGAUGAGGUGGGUCAUGUUUCUUGGUCUAAUUUGGACUCCAAAAAGAUAUUUGUCUUAAGGGCAGCUAGGUGGCUCAGUAGAUUGAGAGCCAGGUCAAGAGAUGAGAGGUCCUGGAUUAAAAUCUGUCCUCAGACACUUUCUAGCUUUGGGACCCUGGGCAAGUCCCUUAACCCCAUUGCCUAGCCCUUACUGCUCUUCUUAAGUAAUUAAUUAGCAACAUUUAUACUAAGACAGAAGAUAAGGAUUUUUAAAAAAGAACAAAAGACAUCUGUCUUCAGGAGUUCUAGAAGUAUGGUUAGGAACAUUCAUGUGAAUGAGGGUAGCCAAGUAAAUUAAUUUGGUUCUAUAUCAUCAAGAGAGUAGUUUGGCACUGGGAAGAGGACUAAGUUGGAAAUCAGGAAAUUUCAUUUCUACUUAUUGCUCUGUCAAUUAGCUUGUAUUUUAGGACCAACCCUGCAGAGUUGAGAUUUGAAAGGAAAGAGAGCUUCUCUCCCACAGAACUAAAUAGACUUUAUUCCAUCUGAAAAUUCCCAUCUUGGACAAGCAUCUUAACUUCACUGGACCUCAGUUUCUUGAACUAUAAAUGAAAGUUUUGGACUACAUGAGCUUGAAGAUUCCUUCCAAUUUAAGAGUUUUAUGAGCCUCAAAAAUCCUGUGAAAUAGGUUUUCAAAUGAAAAAUAUAAGUAGCCAUGAAGCAUUUUUGCUUUAUUAUAUUAGAGGUCAAUUGGUCAAUUUAACCAGUUUGGGGUAAAUUCAGUUUUUUAAAACAGAAAUUAAGGGAACAGAUGGGUAGCUCAGUGGAUUGAGAGUCAGGCCUAGAGACAGGAGGUCCUUAGUUCAAAUCUGGCCUCAGACACUUCCCAGCUGUAUGACCCUGGGCAAGUCACUUAACCCCCAUUGCCUAGCUCUUACCACUCUUCUGCCUUGGAGCCAAUACACAGUAUUGACUCCAAGAUGGAAGGUAAGGGUUUUAUAAAAGAAAAAGAAAGAAAGAAAAGAAAAGAAAAUAGAAGUUAAUCAGACUGACAACUUCAAAACUAUCCCAUUUUGAAACCUAAAAACACCAAAAAGAUUUUUAAAUUGUUUACUUUUGUUGACUAGACACAACCUUCACUAAAGUCCUAUCACUUUGUUUCAUCAUGGCAUGGAAGAAAUGUGAGUUCUCAAGGAUUAUAUCAGUGUAAUACAACCUUUGGCAGUUUCUUACCAAAAUGGAAUGACUUUGGGUAGGAAUCAUAAGUGGAAAGAUUUGUGUUUGUGUGUGUGUCACGCAUCCCUGUGCACUACCUGGGGUCUAGCCUAACUAAAGUGGGAAAGACUCAAUACCAAAAGAUCAGAUACUGUGUGGAUUUAAUUUUUACCCAUAGUACCUACUAAUACAAAAAGAUGUUUAAAUCUGUACACAGAGAAUACUCACUAACAAAAUUAAAGAUUCUUGAAUAGUAUUUUCAUGAUUUUUCUACCUUUUCAUGAAGUUGAUUUCUAUUCUUCCAUUACAUUUCAUAAUAGAAUUUGAUCCCUAUAGAGAGAAAUUUAAUUUAAAUACUAAUACAUUUUUGUCAUACCUAAAAUAUGCAUAGUUAUUAGUUAUGAGUCUUUAUAUAAUUAAAUUAUACAUUUUCAUUUCUAUAGCAUUUAUGAAUUUCAAACUGACUAUGAGUAAUUCUAGGAAAUGUUAUAAAUAGUAUUUGAAUAUUCAUAUUUCUAAAGAUGAUUUCCAGCAGUACAUCUCUAGACCUCUUACCCAAGAUCCUUUUAAAGCAAAACAUGAACUUUAUGUUAUACACAAGGAGCAAGAUAAAUAAAUUCCAAGGUGGAUUUACCUCUGAGAGGAAAAGCAUCUAAAGCAAAGAGUUUCUAUUUUAAACCCAUAAAUCCUAUAUUGUACUGUCAAAAUAGAUAUUGUGAUUAAUUUUAAGUUGGCAGGAAUCAAAGAGCAACCUAUCUGUGGUAAAUAGAAAUUGUUCAAGUCUGCAUUAUGUUGAGAUUUUCAUUUUUGUUGCAUUCUUUUUUGGUCUUGCUUACUAAAAUACAAAGUUUUCACAAAGUUCCAGUUUUUCAAAGUGUGCAUGGCCAUGAAUAUAUGAUAUGUACCUGUCUUGAGACUAUAAUAAUCUUUGUAUCAUUUCAUUUAAAAGGGCUAAUUGAAUAAUUAUUUUCAGUAAAGAAAAUAUAUUUUUAUUACUGGUCAAUUCAUUGGAUUUUAAAUAUAACAUAACAUUGAAUGUGACAUUUUUAGAUCACAUGUGUGCAUUUAAACCUAUUGUUAAGUAUACUGAGUACAAUGUUCUAUUUUACUUGUAAAGAGUGUGAACAUUCUAGCACUCAUACAAAUAUAAAUACUCCCAAAAAAAGUGUUUAUCCCCAGAAUAGAGUUAAAUUAUUCUAAUUAAACUUUGCAGUGCUUUUGCCUGUGGGCCCCCCAAAAGCCAGUGCCUGACAGGAAGCUGAUGCAUAGCAUUCAGUGAUGCAUGAGGUCUAAUUCUUUAUUCUGCAUAGGGGAGAAGAGUAUCUCUGCAUUACCAUUUCUUUCCUACAACAUGUAAAAGGUUAUUGUGCUCAGUUCCUCUGCAUCUGCAUAGAGCUGACAUGGAAUCUGUCUUCUCUUCCUGCUUUUCUCUUUGACUAUUUAGUUUGUUUUAUUUUAGCCUACCCAAGUAAAGUAGAUUAGAAUCAACCCUUUAUCUCAACUGCAAUGAAAGAAUUAUUUUGUUAAUUGGCAUAUUGAUAUCCAGAGAACUGCUUACUAUGCCAAGUUAUUAAAAAUAAGUAGAUGAGGGGCAAAUUAAACUUUGAAUCACCUGUUCCUUUGGGCAAAAUACAUAAACCAAAUCGACUGCCACCAAAUGCCAUAUUAUUUACAUUGCGUAUACAAUUUAUUUGCUAAAAAUGUGCUUGACAAAAGAUUUGAAUUUGCUCUUGAGCAUAUAAUGGGUCCCACUUAAUAGUGGAGCUCACUUAUGUGCCCUUCACUCUAUAAUUAAAUCAUAUGGGAAAAUGUCACAAAGCAAAAUAAAAUGUAUUUAUUUCAGCCAUAUCUUCCCACAGCAUGACAUGUAGUCUGAAAAAAAUCACUAAGCAUUUUUAUACCAUCUGUGCUCAUAGGGGAUACAUUUACAAGGCAUGUCACUGUAAAAUAUUCCAUUUUGAAUUAAACAGGGCCUGAUUAUUGCUAUAAGCAUCUGAACAGUAUAAGUUCUAAGAUGGACAGACGUCAUUUAUUGCCUCAAUUUCAAACCAAAAUAUUUCUAUCCUAAUAUCUUUAGGAAGAUUACCACUGCCCAUGGAAAAAAAUAGGUAUACUUUAAAAAAAGUUAUUGGUACAGGCAUAUAUAAAUCCUUUGAAUAGUCAAAAAUUAAAUGUUGUGGUUCUUCUUAAUUAGAAAUUAUCACCUAAAACUAAAAGAAAAUAUUUAAUUUUCUCAUAAUCUUAACUGAAACUAGGAGAAAUCAGAAAAACUAAUUUCUCCCAACAUAGACUGUGUAAUCUAUGUAAGAAGACUUGUGUUACCUUAGAUAAUACCACUUUGUGAAUUUUUGUUGUGGUUGUUGCAGCAAUCUAUCUAAAAGGUCUAUAAAAUCAAAGAGGCUACUGUUUCAGCCAGUUUGUCAAGCAUAAAGUUACAUCUAUUCUAGGGAGUUUCUGAUUCCCCAGGAAAACAAACCUGAGGCUUGUCCUUUGUAACUGCUAGUGCUGAAAUUUAUGAAUAUUUACAGUCAUUUUUUAUUUCUCUGUAUUUAGAAGUGCCAUUUAAUAGUUUGUUUAUGAGAUGAAAAAUCCCACAAUUCUGAGUUAGAAAAAUAGCAGAGGAUUCCAGGUUUUAAAAUUUUAUGUUAAAAUCUGUCAUUGAUUUAUUAAGUGAUUCUGGUCCAUAUUUUCCUCUUAAGGUUGUUCAUAUUGAUCUCCCUCAACUGGUUUUGAGGAAUAUAUAACCAAUAAACAUGUAAAAUAUUUUAUAAACAGAAAAGGCUUUAUAGAAAUCCAACGAUACUCAGAAGUCCCAGAUCAAUUCCUUUAAGAUGCAAGUAUUUUUAUACCCUGGAGAAUUGAGGAAAAUAUGAUUUACUUAUAAAAUAAUGCCAUUUGUUCAUCAGAAUACUUAGCUCAUGAUUGUGCAACAAAUUUGCACUAGUCUGAAACUGAAAAAAAUAUGAAUGAAUCACAUUUCAAAAGAUCUCAGUUGUAUGGAUAGUCCUUCCUCUGUUACAGAUUAUUCCUAUCUCUAUCUGAGCAUAACAUCAUCAUGAUUUAUGAUUACAAAAUCUCACCCUAUUGUGACCAGCAAUCUGCUGAUAACCCUCUCCAAACCUAGAUGGGCUCAUCUGUCACUGGGUCUGCUGUACUCAAAGCCUUUCCGGUCUGGUAAAACCUGACAGACCUUCUGCUCCCUGGAUUAUAGCAUCUGAGAAAAGAUACCUCCACACCAUGAUGAGGCUUUGGAGGAGGACUUUUUUGGGAGAGCAUAAAUUGUGUAUUUAUCUAAUCCAGCAUCAGUUUCACUUAAGUGGAAUUAACUCGAUUUCAUUUAAAACUUCUGUAAACAAUAAAGUUGUUGAGAGAUUUACAUUAACAAAAUUCUCUAUAGUCAAUAUCAUUUUCUCCAAGAUGCCAUCUUGAUAACUCUUACCAAGUCCAUCUUUCUCUGCUCCUGACCACAUACAGUAUACUGAACACUAGAUUAUUACUUAUUUUGCUGCUUUAUAAUGUAUUUUGUCUGUUGAUUUUUGUUUCCUUAAUAGUCCUGUGAGUUCUGCCAAACUCCACCCUUCAAUACACAAGGCAGAUUUGCAGAUUUGCAGUUGCAAUUGCAGUUGCAGAUUUGCAACUUAGAGGGGGUUUUUAGUUUUUAAGGGUUACCUAGAGACAGGUCAAGUGCCUUCCUCACUCAAGUCACACACUUAAAAUGUGUUAGAAAUAAGAUCUGAACCCAGGUCAGUCUGACCCAGAAACCAGUUCUAUCUACUAUAUCAAACUUCCUCCUUUGGUGUCUUAUUUUUUUCUCUAUUUCAUUGUGUUUUUGUUUUGUCUCCUACAUGAUUGUCAAAUCUGUAAAUACAACAAUUCUGUCUUGUGCUGUUUUGGGUAUUCCUCACAGAAUUUAGCUAAAUAUUAAGCUUAUAGUUGAUGCUACCAACUAACUAUAUUAGUUGAAUUAUCCAACUGCAUUAUACUCUAACCAGCAUUUCUUUUUUUAAAAUGCUGAAAAUAGACUCUGUGGCAAUUAAUCUCCAGUGUAUUUUCCCACUGACACAUCUACAGUUUCUGAAGAAAGCAAAUCUUAUCAGCUCCAAGCAUUCCUGGAGUUGAACUUAGUCUGUCAAGAUAAAGAAGGAAAAUAUGAAGACCUCCCUUGCCUGGAAAACAAAUGAAUCCAUUUCAGAACUGUUUCUUUCAUUUCUGUGAGCUAAAUUCUCUAACCACCUAUAAUGAAUGUUUUUCAAAGAAAUUGAGAUACAGAAGAUACAGAGACAAAAGGGACAUAGGCCCUUCCUCCAGGAACUUUGUUAAUAACCCCCCCCUCUAGGUGUUCUACCUAAUCUUUCAACUAAGCAUAAUUAAAAAGCGCUAGGUUUGGAUACAUAGAAACAUGAAAAGUAUCUCAUUCAAUGAAAUCACAAAUCCAUUUCAUCCUUAUAUUCAUUCAUUCUAUUAGAUAGAUACAUAGACAAACAGACAGAAAGAUAGAUAGAUGGGCUGCUAGGUGGCAUAGUAGAUUCAGCUCUGGACCUGGAAUCAGGAAAACCUGAGUUCAAAUCCAGAGAUCUACUAUGUAAGGAAAUCACUUAAUCUCUCCCUCAGUUUCCUAAUAUGUAAAAAGGGAUAAUAAUACCUAUCUUGCAGGGUAGUUGAGGAUCAAAUGAGAUAAUAGUCAUGAAGAAUUUUGUAAACCUUAAAUGCUAUGUAAAUGUUGGCUGUGAUCAAGAUAUUAGUAGAUCGAUAAAAGCAUAUUUAUUAAGCUCUUAAUAUAUGUCAGGCAUUGUGCUAAGCAUUGGGGGGAGGGGGGAGAAACAAGUUUUUAUUAAGGGUCUAUUAUGUGCCAGGUAAGGUCUUCUUAAAAAGAUUAUCGAUCCUCACAACACUCAGCAAUUACUAACCCAUAUGGCUACUUUCUCUUCCCUAAUGGAUGAGAACAAUCUAGACAUACAUUCAAGGUACCUUUGAUGCACCCAGGAAUGAUGUAGAAGCAGAUCUUUUCAAAUAGGGUUAUUGUUUGUUUGUUUGUUUUAGCAGAACAUGUUUUUAUAACUAUACAACUGAGGUUGAAAUAUAUUGGUAAAGUUCUCUAAAUGCUCCUAUGUGCAAAUGACAUAAUAAUUGACCAGUCUUUAGAAUACUGCAACGCUUCAAUAAAAUCCACAGUAAAAAUAUAUAGAAUAAUUUUUAAUUAUCCACCUUAAAAAGAGUAGAUGAUUAAAAUCUGACCUCAAACACUCCCUAAAUUUGUGACUCUGGGCAAGUCAUGUAACCCCAAAUGCUUGGCCCUGGCUUGGAACCAAUAUUUACUAUUAAUUCUAAAGACAGAAGGUAAAGGUUAAAAAAAAAAAAGAGUGGAUGAAAAAUGUUUAUUGUAUGACAUGAACCUAUGGAGUCAGUCUUUCAAGGGUUAUAUCUUGGAGAUGGAAAAUUAUCUAGGUCCAGAGUUAAGCGGGAGAAGAUUAUGCCAUAUUACAUUUGGGAGAAUAUGUAGUAUUUUCAUAGGAUCAUAGCUUUAGAGCUGAAAGGGAAUUUAGAGGCUAUCAAUUUCUAAUGCCACAUUUUACUCAUAAAAAAAACACUUGAGUCUCAAAGAUUAAGUGAUGAGCCCAGCUUAGAACUCUGCUCUUCCUGAUUCUAAUCCCCCCUCCAUUAUGCCACACUGUAGUUUCAAAGAUCCCAAUAUACUCACUGAUGCAAAAGCCUAUAUCCUUAAUAGCAGCAUACAUAUUUAUCAUCCAUCCUUAAGUAACACAAUAGAAAUUGCAAAUAAUCCUGAAUGCAAUGGACAAAAAAAACAACCAGACCUAAACAUGAGGCAUCCUCCCGUGCUACUACUAUGUCUACCUCUCUGAGUUCUGAGAGGCAGAGGUGGCUUUUUCUCUAUUGCUGUCCCCUGGAUCCCUAACCAACUGUAUUCUCUGGUGGUUAGGGGUCUGUGACAAGCACCAAUUUCACCUUUAAAUAUCAAUUAUCUUUUACAAAGACAUAUUUACUUCAAGAAUAUUGAGGACAAAAUAACCCUCAAUGUCAUAUGAGGGAUAAUCUCUCCUCCAUACCACCUCAGUAUCUGAGGAGGCAUUAGGCUUGUGACUCAGCUCAGUUCCAACAAAGCAUUGGUCCCACCAAGUUCAUUUGUAGAUACUAUCAGGUAAGUAAUUCCACUGGGCUAUGCUCAUUCUCAAAGAUCAUUUCUUGACUUUGAUCCUUUGAUAUGAAUAGCAUCCUUAGCCUAGAGCCCAGCCUUUGGAAUCCCAGGGUUCUUUUUUGUUCUUUCAUAUUGCCCACCAUACUUUUUCCCUUCUUCACUCCAGCAACCAAAAUCCUACCUAUACUUCAAGGUCACAUUGGAAUUAUGUCAUAUUUGUAUUUCUUUUCUCUAUAAUCUCAUAGUACUUCCUAUAGAUACCUCUCAUCUGCUGCUUUCCACGUACUGGCUUAGAAUGCCUACCAUACUUCUGUGCACAUAUACCACUGAUGUGUUGCUGCUUGAGUUCCAUCAAUAGGAGGACUUUUUGAGCCUUCAUUGACCCUCGAGGGUCAUGUGCCUGCAGUUCGCCUAUAUUGUCACUAGAUGGUGAUUUUGCUUCCUUAAUAACAAAAUUGAAAUCUAAUGUUCCCUUCUUGUUUCCAUUGCCUACCCCACUCCUCCUCACGCUGUGACUCAGACUUGGAUGCUUUUAAGACAUUUAAUUUAAGGUACCUUAGCUUUAACAGUGUUAUAAUCAUCCCAGACUAGAUUCCUUUACAUUUAGUUGUCUUCUUAGUCCUGACUCUUUAAAUUCACAGAAAUUGUCAGAAACUUUUUCAGAUUUGUUUCUCAUAAUUAAAACAUAGGUAAGCUUAUAAACAGAGUCUGAUUGUUUAAACUGUAUAGUUUGACAAUUUAUUAUACAUUUUGGGGCCUAUAAUUCAAUCUAUUUUGUAAAUAAAAAAGAUAGAACAUUUACAUGUCUAAUAUUUAUGUAACUAGUUAGUUAUAGAAUCUAGUACUUUUUUUUCACAGUUCCACUUUUUUCUUGUUUCCUUACCUAGACUAUAAGCUUCUUAAGGGUUGGGGCCAUAUCUUUCUCAUCUUUAUAUUCCCUACUAGACUUAACAGUCACUACUAUAAUGUUUUGCUUAUGUAGGCUGCUCCCUUCCCAUAAAUGUUAAGUGAUUUGCUUUCUUGAGACCUAAUUUAAUACUCCAUCCUUGGGAAGGCUUUACUCCUUAUUCUUACCAUAACAUUACUUCUAGGGCUAGUUUCCAACUCAUGCUUGUAUCAAAAAUUUGAAUUUUUCAGGAAAAUUCGAAGGUGUUCUAUAACCUAGUAGUAUUUUAGUAGCCAGCAGAUACAAUUAUCUCAAGGCAAGAGUGUUUACAGAGAUGGUAGUAGCAGUAGUAGUAGUAGUAGUAGUAGUAGUAGUAGUAGUAGUAGUAGCAGCAGCAGCAGCAGCAAGAAUUUAAGGUUUGCAAAAUAACUUUACAAAUAUUAUCUCAUUGUUUCUCAUGACAACUCUAGGAGGUAUGUUAUCAUUAUCCCUAUUUUACAGAUGAGGAAACUGAGGCAGUCUUGCAAAAUAUUAGGUGACUUGCCUAGAGUCAGUAAAUAUAAAGCAAUCUUUGAACUCAGGUCUUUCCAACUUCAGGUCUAAUACACAUAUCCAUUGUGCCACCUAGCUGCCAAAUUGGAAUUACUACAACUAUUAAGUAUAAAACAUUCUGUCCAAUAAACAUAUAACAAGAAUGGGAAAAGUAGGCACAUACAUAGAGUACACUAGUCCUGACACACUUCACAUUGUCCUAGAGCCUUUCGUAUCUUUUCUCUUGUGAUGGACUUACACUGUUUGUUCACCCUGGUUGAUACAUCUCAGCUUGAGUAGAUCACACAGGUAGACUCUGGAUCCACUCCCUUUGCAAUCAGACUCAUGAAUUGAUCUUCUUUUGAAUCCACAAAUGGCUCUCUUCUCUGCAUCCAAGAAUCACUGUCCUCCGAGCUUCCUCUCACUGGCAUUUUUUUGAGCCCAUUCCUAGUGGGAAUGUGAAUUACUUUCUUGCAAGAUAUUGUGUCUGAUGUAGGUAGAUGGGAGAGGUUAGAGGAAAAAAAUGGACUCCCCAAGCCCUGGCUGCCUUCUGGAAGGGGAAAAGAUAAAAUGAAGUCAUUUCUUCACCCAGAGCUCUCUCCCCCCAAAGAACCAGAGGUCAUACUUUUUGAAGUAAUUCCUGACUCAACUGUUUCCCAGAACUACUGUUUUUUCCCUAGCAUUGUAGAGACCAUAGGAGCACUCUGGAUAGCUACCUGUUGUCCUUCCUUCACCCAUGCUACAUGAGACUGUAUAAAGAUGGGCUAGGUGUACCAGUCCACCUGGACAUACCUGGACAACACUUUCUGCAUUUUGUGCAUGUCUAUGCAUGUGGCCAGUCCAUCUUCUUUUAUUAGCACACAUUUUCCUGAUGACAUCUUCUAUUGUUAUUUUUUUCAAUGUUCCUCAUUGUUCGUGACUGAAAGCUUACUCACGCUCUCAAAGCACAUCUCAUUCUCUGUGGAAGAUAUAUUUGCAGUCCUUCUUUUCCUCUCAUUUAUAUAAUCUCCUUAGUCAUGUCUUUAUAUAUUUCCAAUCCUUCUUCCCCUUCCUUUUUAUAUAAUCUCCUUAGUCUUCUUAUGUGGCCCUUUCUAGUUACCCCCUCCCUCUUCUUAUCUACCCUGCCUCAUUCAUAAGAUCAUAUUUAUAGGGAUUCUGAUUUAAAGUUCAAAGGGACUAGAGAUUUUCUGUUCUGAUGCUUUCAUUUUAUAGGCAGGUUGUGACCUGACCAAGGUAAUAUAGAAAAUAAGGAAAAGAGGUAGGAUUUGAAUUCAAGUCAUCUUGACUGAAGUCAGUGGUCUUUACUUUCUUGCCAGAAUUAUAUCUUGAUUUUGAUUGUAAGCUCCUUUAGGUCAGGGACUUUUUGCCUCUUUUUGUAUUCCUAGCUCUUAGUGCCUGGAACAUAGUAGGUGUUUAAUAAAUGUUGACUAAUUGAUUUAAAGGAUUCCUACAUAAGUGACAAGAGGCAACCAGAGGCUCUAUAUUUUACUUUAUAUUAACCCCUUGAUUUCACUUGGUUGAGUGAGCAGGGAUAGCAGAGAGGUUCCACAAAAGUGGGAUUUCUAAUAAUAGCUAAUAGCUAGUAAUUCUCUAGCACCUAAGGUCUCUCAACAACUCAGUGAGGUGGAUUCUAUUAAUAUUAAUAAUUAAAUUAUAUUCAUAUAAAAUAAUUAUAUUAAUAAUAAUAAUAAAUCAAAUUUGAAUUCAGGUCUUUUUUACUCUAUCCACUAUGCCACCUAGCAUCCUAUUCUAUUUUUCUUCAACCUUGCUUGAAGUCUGACUAUACAACAAUGCUUCAACUAUAGUCCUAUAUAAGUCCUAAAUAAAUGCUAAGUGUUUUGAAGGCUAUUGUUUAUUUUUUUUAAACCUUUCCCUUAUGUCUUAGAAUCAAUACUGACUAUUGGUUCUAAGGCAGAAGAGCUGUAAGGGUUAGGCAAUGGGAGUAGGGACUUGACCAGCAUCACACAGCUAGGAAAUAUCUGUGAUUAGAUUUGAACCCAGGACCCAGGUCUCUAGGUCUGACUCUCAAUCUUUGGAGCUAACUAGCUGUUUCUUUUCAUAGAUCCAAAUGAUAGAUGACAUUUGUAGUUGGCAAAUGAUAGGAUUUAGUCAAAACUGUUCAUUGAACCCUACUGAAAGUUCCAAAAGAAGUAAAAGAUAGAGAGCUUACAAUAUAACAUGAGAGACCAAACGCAAAUCUAUAAGAUCAUCAUAUUUGAGGUGAAGAGAAUUUCAUCACAUAUUUUUGCUCCCUUUUAUAGAUAAAAAAAGACCAGAUAGAAAAUUGUCUUGUCCAAGGUAACAUAUAUAGUAAAAGCUGCCACAAACCUAGGUCUUUUGACUCAAUAUCGAUGAUUAUUUCUAUUGUAUCUCACUGGGAAAAAAAACUACAAUGGAAAUAAUAGAACAUAUGCAAGAGACAACAUGGUAUAUAUAGCAUAUAAAAAGCCAGCCUCACAAUUCAAGAGAACAUUUCUUCAAUCUCAUUUACUGGCUGUGUGACCCUGGGCUAGUCAUUUAAUUGGCUUUAGACACCAAAGCUUUAGCUGAAGAGACAAUUUUGACCUACAUUGAUAGAGGGAAUUUCCUCUCCCAGAAGUUCUCUAUGCCAGUCGAAUCAAAGUUCCAGGUCCUAUCCAUGAUCCAAAAUAAUUGCAGCCAUAUGCAAAGCCUCAGGAAUUCAUUCAAGAUCAAGAUUUUUAGAAAUAUAAAAACAAAAGAUGCAGACAGAGUUUCUUGUGAGCAGUGAAUAAACUUCAUCUUAUGAGCUGUGGACUACUGAGUCAUUAUCAAGAGAUGGAUGACACCUGCAAUGUGAAGUAGUGAAAGACAGAUAGAAAGAUUGAUAAGAACCAUUUUUCUUUUGUAACUUCUGUAAAGUGUUUUCUUUUCUAUAACAAUGCAGUUUUGAGAAUAAUUCAGUUAUGCAUCCCCCACUCUGAGCUGCCCACUGUAGAUUCCUCUGGAACUCUUAGGAUAAAGCAUUCUCUCUCCCUGGAAGAGAGGGCAGGAGUUGGUUUUUUUUUUGUUGUGAUGGUUGUUGUUUUUCCAUCCCAGGCCCUGAUUUAUUUUUAUACCAAAACAAAUAAGGAACCAUCCCACUGGCAUCCAUCACAAGGAAACAGGCACUCCUUGUCACCCUCGGUCUUCCUCCCAGCCAAGCCCCAGGGAACAUGCAGUUACAAAAUCUUCUUCCCCAAGAAGGAGAAACUCCUUUUUUUACAAUCCUCGGAAGUUCUUUAAUGUCUGCGAUUUAUCAAGUCCCAUUUGCUAUUUUGGAGCCCAGUUGCAUGACAUCCAGAACCCAGAGAAAGACAAAGGUGAUGUUUAAAUGAGUGCCUUCAACCCUGCACAUAGGGAGGGGUUUUUGUUCAUGUCUCUCAGAACUGUCAUCAGUAGAAACCACAUCUUUUCCACCAGAACUUAACUGCAAAGGUUACUGCAAAACAGGCAAGAUUACUUGUAUUUUCAUGAGUAACAGUUCUUUUUCCCUUUAGGUCUCUCUUAGUUGUCUGUAUAGCCUCUAGAAUAUCUUAGCACAAAGUCUAUUUGGCUUUGGGCCAGUGACUUGUGUAAAAAUUAUUGCACAUGCACAACAAUUAAAAAAGCUUAGGUCUCUAUCCCUCUUCUGUGUUUACAAAGCACUUUGCUCACAACCUCUUUCCUAGGUAGUAUUAUUAGCCUCCUUUUGUAGAAAAACUGAAGCUCAGAGUUUAAAGGACUUGCCCUGCUGGGUCAUUCAGGCAGUAAAUGUCAGAGCUAGGUCUCAAACUCAGGCCUUCUGAUGCCAUCAUACAAGAGUGUUCUUUCCAUUAUACUCUGUUGCUUCUCACUUGUGUUCAUAUAUAGUUGUUGAUGUAUAUUAUAUAGCUUUUGCAUGUAAAGCCUCUUAAAGAAAGCAAAAACUAUGUUCAUUAAUUAAUACUAUUUAAAAUUUUUCUCUACCUUCCUUAGAUCCUGAAACCAGAACCACAAAAAUACUAAUGUAGAGUCACAGAUUUAGAGUUGGAAUGGACCUUAGCGGCUGCUUAAUCCAGUGCUCUAAUUUUAUAGGUGAAUGAAUGAAUGAAUGAAUGAAUGAAUGAAUGCAAGAAAAGCCUGUAUUAAGUACUUCCUAUUUAGCAAGCAUUGUAUUAAAUGUUUGGAAUACAAAAUCAAAAGUAGGGAUAGUACCUACCUUCUAGGAGCUGACAUUUUAAUAGAAAGAGAUAACAAACAUAGUGGAGUGUUGCCUGGGGCAGGGAAAGUUAUGAGUGGAACUCCAACAUGAUCAACUCUAACUUGAUCCUUUUAUAAAGUUUUAUUUUAUUUUUCAAUUAAUAAACAUUGAUUUUCACUCCCUCUCACUACUAUCCAAAAUUUAAAGAAAAAAAAAGAAUAACAUAACCUUUGUAACAAAUACAUAUAAUCAAAACAAAUUCCCUUCGUAGUAGCAAGGGCAGUAUUGAUUUUAUUAUGGUUCUAGAGUUGGAAAAUAGAAACAACACUAGGAUUGGGAAAGGAAUGAAGAGGGGAGAAGAGUUGUAAAAAUGGCUGGUGAAAAUAUUGUUAGAAUAUAAUGGUGAAAAUAUUGUUAGAAUGAAUAUAAGACAAAACAUUGCCUGGGCUGCCUAGAUGUGAUCGGCUACUAAUAGGCACUAAUUAGGACAGCUAGAAUUCAGGGUGAGAUUGCCAGAGCUGAAAGGUUUAAAUCUUCUGGGUAAUGGUCCCUAAUCCAAUGGGCAAGAAAUUGAGGCUCAGAGAAAUUGAAUGGUUUGCCCUAAAUUAAACAGUAGUAAAUAGAGAUUUGAACCCAAGACCUCUAACAUCAAAUAGCAAUGUUUAUUCCACAGUACCAAAAUUUUCUGAAAAUACAUACUUCUAAUUUAUAGUAAUCCAGGUUUCAAACAAUUAAAAAAAAUGAAAUGUCAAAAUCCCAAAGUGAUCACAUGAGAGGUUUGAGAGUUUCAUGAGAAAGUUAAUAUUUGAUUCUCAGAGUGGAGGAGGUUUGUGCCAGCAUCUUAUCCAAUCUGUUGAAGAAUUUAGAUGGGAAGGCUGGAUAUGUCAUAAGGGCACAAUUCCCAUGAAUCUCAAGGUACCAAUCCUGUUUAGAAACCAAAACACCAUUGUUCUAUUUAAUUAUAGAGGAACUGUAUUCACCUUUAUUACAUGUUUAGGCACCUGCCUUUUAUAAUCAGCAAUCUAAGAGCAUCCUAACAUGUCAGAACUGUGAACCAUUUUCCUUUCAUGUCCUUUUGUUUCCAUCUAUCAUGGCCUUGAGGUCUACAGAGCUUCAGGGAAUACUUCAAGCCAAGGAUUGGAAAUGCAUACUUUCAAGGUACAGAGAAAGUUAAUGGGAGUAGAAUAGACUUUAAGGGUGAGUCCCUCUUCCUACCUACUGGCAAGAGCCUUCAAAGAAGUCUGCAUAGAGGACAAUCCGUCCUCAUUUUUAAAACCAACAUAGAGAACCUACCAUUUUGCUCAGUAUCCACAGCACAGCACUUUUCAACUCUCAUUAGUAAGAAUUUUUUUUUUUAAGUUUAACCUAUCAGAGAAUUAGAGAAUCUUAAAAUUUGAAGGGACUUAACAGGUCAUUUUGAAGAGUAUUCUAAAUAAUAAAUACUUUCUAAUAAACUCAUCCUUGCCUUUCAGUUCUUAAUUAGAGGAGAUAGAAAAUAGCUGGUGACUAUUUUAUGCUUUCCUAUAAUUGACAUUUAAAAUCUUUAUUCAGCUUUCAUUUCACAGGAGUAAAUUAUCCUGGUCUCUUUAUAGGUACUUAUAUCAAUUAAUCAACAGACAUGUAUUAAAAUGCCACCCAGUGUGUCAGGCACUGUGUUAGGAACAAGGGACACAGAGUUUACAUUUCAUAUUCUUUUAUAACCCAAAGAACUAUACUUCUCAGAAGUAAUGCAGGGAAAUUGGCUAGAGUGGCUAGGGACAGAGAAGCACAAAUACCUCCCAAAUUACAAUUCCACCAAUUAAAGAUUCAUUUGAAUUAGUGAGCUCCUCUUUGAAAGCAAAUUCCCCCAGGAUAGUUAGGCUUAUCAAUCAUUCACACCUUAGAGUGAGUGACUUGAAAGAGAUAAUUGUUUUCCUCUGACUGAAAUCAAUCACACUGAAAGAUUGGCAGUUUUGAUUGGGGGAAAGUUGUUUUAGAGCAGGGAGCUCUUCUAAAGAGUACAAAAAGUAUUGGAAUACCCAGAAGGUAGAAAAUAAGGGAAGAACUAUGUGCCAGCAGAGGCAAGAGGAGAGGCUGGCAGGAUGCCUGUGAGGUGAACACACCUGGACUUGGAGAACCUGAACUUGACUCUUGCCCUCAGACCUUGCUAGCUGUGUGACCCUGAGCAAGUCACUUCAUCUCUCAUUCUGAGUUUACUCAUCUAUCAAAAAAAAGGUGGGGGGGGGGGGGUAGAGAUAAUUUCUCCCACCUCAUAGGAUUGGUUUUUUCCUAAAAAAAAAGUUUGUGGUUGGGGAAAGGCAAGAGUUUUGCCAUCAAAGGGUAUAGCACCAGGUUCAUGCAGACUUAGAUUCAUCCUUAGAUUCAGCCCUACUCCAAAAAGGAGGGGAGGUAGAUGGGGGAGAAGGAAAUCCAACUUUUUUCAUGGCAUCAUUGUAAAACAGCAGUAUCAUUCAUCCUAGAAGCAGAACUGACUAAAUCCCCACAGAGCUAAAGGACAACAUCAGAUUCAUCACCCCUGUUACCCAUACAUCCUUUAAACAUAUCUUCCUAUGAGGUACUGUAUCCUGUUCCAACUUUCUUCAAAUCAUUGUUGUAGUCAUCUAUGAAACAUUUGUUGAGUUUUCUGCCACCUUUUUAAUUGUACAUUCUAGAACUCAUCAUAGCAAUCAGUCAACAAUAAUUCUUUAACAUUUGUUGCUAGACAAGGCAGUAUCUAUAAUACCAAGGAAGGAAGACAUUCUUUGACUUCAAAGAAUUUAACAUAAUUUGUGAAAUGUCAUAUAAACUUAAAGCAACUCUUAGUUCCCUACUUUUGAAAUGCCCUCACUCCAACCACUUUCCACUUGCCUUAAGAACCAACUCAAAUGCCAGUUCCUUCACAAAGACUUCUUUGAUCCUCCAGAGUUGGGGAUUCAUGGCACAUUAUUUGUAUUUCUUUUAAGAAUUUACCCUGUCUUAUGUGUGAUUAUAGUUAUUUAUGCAUUUAUUUUCAACAUAUAGAUUAUAAAUAAGAUUUAUAAACUCCAUGAAGGUAAGGAAUCUGAUAAUUUUUUAUCUCAAAUACAAUAUUCUCAACAUAUCAAGUGUUUAAUAAAUGUUAAAUAAACUAAAUCUUUUGAAUUUCUUAUGUAUUUCCUAAGCUGGGGAAUUUUGGGUUCAAGUCCCAUCUGGGUUGCCAAUUAAUGCGAGAAUUUAAAUUUAGGUUUCAUGCUAAAUAUAAGAAUUCUAAAGUAAUAUUUUGGUCACCAAUUUUAAAAUAUUACAGCUUAAGUCAAAAUGACUUUUAGUGGCUUUAUUUACAAAGAGGUGGAAAGAGUGAAAGUGGAAAAAUGUAAAUAAAGAGACAGAAAGUACUACCUAGCCACAAAUAUUCUAAGUUUAAUCCUAAUGUCUCCAGAUAGCAAAUGUGAAUCCUAAAAGCAAAUCUCACCAGAAUCCAAAAUCUUAAUUAGGAAGCCAAAAUCCAAAGAUCCAGGAGUCACUUAAGGCUAAGAUUGCCAAGAAUCUCACCAGAACUCACACCAAAGAGAGUGUCUCACCAAAGCAUCAAUGAACAGAGAGAGUCUCCUCACCAUAGAACCAAGGAAGGAAUCACUUCACUCACCACUGCAAGAUCCAAGGGAAGUGUCUCUUCAAGCACCAAGGCAGGAAUGACUCAAAGCCAGAGGAUCUAAAGAAAGAAUAAGCCCCAAAUCCAGGAAGCCAUGGCCUUUUUAUAGUCCUUUUCCCAAGUCAAUUCCUAUAUCUUCCCCUCUUCACAGGAAACAAUCAUAGCUUCCAAACUGCUUAGCCUACCUGAGUUGAGCAGUCCCCUUUGAAGGUGAGAGUUUUUGACUUGUGAACUCUUCCACCUAACCACUAGUCAAGUGUUAAGAUUGAUUAAACUAAAGGUUGCUGAUUAAUUACAUUAGAAAUAACAAAAAGGAGGCAGCUGGGUAGCUCAGUGGGUUGAGAGCAGACAAGUAACUUGACCCCCAUUGCCUAACUCUUACCACUCUUCUGCCUUGGAACCAAUACAUGGUAUUGAUUCCAAGAUAGCAGAUAAGGAUUUCAAAAAAAAAGAAAUAACAAAGAGAUAAUUCUAUCUUCAAGAUAUGCAUAAGACUUCAGAGUUCACAAAAUGCAUCUACUUAGCUUAUUUUAUCUAGUCCUCAUAACAACACUAUUCCCAACUAUUUUUACAAUGUAAGAAACUGAAACAAAAAUUCAAUAAGUCAAAUCAACAUUCAAGAAACUGUGCUAUGAUUAAGGAUAGAUAGAAAGAUUCAAAGAAAACUUAAAACAGUCCUUGCCCUCAAGGAGCUUACCAUCCAAUGGGGGAAGACAACAUGCAAAUAAUUAUGUAAAAAUAAGAUAUAAACAAGAUGAUUUGUUCAAGAUCUGCAGAGUUGGAAAUUCUCAGUACCACCAUAGUUUGAAUAUUAGAACCUUAGUCUUCUUAUUCCUGUGUUUGUUCUUUCUAUUACAACUGUGAGUAGUGAUUGGUCUUCACAGUAUUUUAAAAAGCUUUAUGGGAAGAUUACUUGAGCUUCUUGCAAGCAAUACUCCUAUUUAUUAUUAGUUUUUAAAGAUAUUACCAUAUUUUUGUAUAAUUUUAACCUAAUAUAUUAGUGGAACUUUGAGGGGUUUCUAUGCUCUAUGCCCAGAGACUAUUUCCUAAUCUCAGCAUUGAGUCUGUAUUGUGUAUCCAGCCUACUAUCUCUUUUUCCAAUCAUUCAUGCCCUUGAUGAUGCCUUUUAUGCCAUUCUUUCUAUGCCAGUUAUCUUUGGCAAUCAUCUUCCUAUUACCCUUUGCUUUUGCGAUUUUUAAUUUCUAAUGUUAAUUCUUUAGAUAUUGUUGUACAUUCCAUGAUUCUCAGUCAUAUAGCAUUUCCAGAAGAAAAUUAGUGUUAAAGAGAUAGGCUUUUGCAGCAAUGAGCAAUUUGGGAUCAUUGAAAGCACUGUACAAUUUUUCAAAGGCAAGCGAGCCCAAUUUCCUCAUCUUGCUCAAUUUUGAGUCUAGCUGAUUAUCCAGCUGCAACUCCUGUCCACUGUCUACAUACUGAUGAACAAAUUUUUGAUUUCAUUUUUCCAGUAUGGUUGACUAGACAAAUAUUUUUCUCACUGCUAUAGAUUUCACUAAGAAAUCUCUAUAGUCUUCCAGGUGGUGGGUGCUGAGGUAGGAGAAAGAGAGGGAGCCAUCACUGUUGAGGAUUAGUCAUAUGUAAAAGUAUUUAGUAACUAUAAAUCAUGAAUGCAGGACAUUCCCCAAGAUUUGGGGGCAUUUUAAAGCUAUUACUUAAAAAGAUUUAUUUAAACUUUUUAAGCACUUAAAACUUCACUAAGACUUUUGGAACACCUUAUGUAAAUAUGAGUUUGUUUUAUUUCUUGGUAAUGGUAUAUGCCUUACAGUAUUUUAAAACUGCCAUACAUAGGAAACAUAGCAUCACUCUUCUCAUCCUGCCUAUUUACUCUUUUAUUCUUUCUAGAAUGAUAAAGGAGUGCAGUGAGAAGACAAAAGAUAUAGAUGCAUGUCUUGGCUUUGCCAUUUUAUUGGCCCUGUAAUUUUAGACAAAUCCCUUAAAUGUUUCUGAAUUUCCUGAUGUCACCACCACUACUACCACUACCACCCUCUUAAUUCUUGUAUUAAGCAUUAAAACACCAAUUGUUACCUUGUUCUCCCUUUAAAAAUUACAUUGUAUUUACUUAUCUGAGUACAGGUUGUGUCCUUCCAGGACAAUGUAAGAGAGCUCCUGAGGGGAAAGACUGUUUCAUUUUGCCUUUGUAUUGUGCCCAGUAUUGAGCACAAUGCCUUGCAUGUAGUAGGGAUCUAAUAAAUGCCCAUUUAAUUAAAUGGACUUGAACCUGUUUACUCAUUUGUAAAAAUGGUAACAAGAAGAUUGAUUAUCAACAGGAUGUCCAUCAUUACCCUUGCUGCCUUUAUAGGGUACUAGGUAGGAGGUCAAUUCUCUACCUUGGAUAAGACCAUUUAGAAACACUUUAAGGUAAACGGGCAUGUGAUUAGAGCUGAGCCAACAACCUCCUGCCUGCCCUCCCUCCCCCACACAAGAGGAAGGGAGAAGCAAGGUUAAUAUUUUUAGUUUUUUGUAAUCAUCCUGAGUUUAAUAGAACUCAGUGUUCCUGGUGUUUCAAAUUGCUAUAGCAGUGAAGCACCAUAUAAUAUAAGAGGCUGGGGGAAGGGAGUAAAAUUGCCUGGGAGAAUUCCUGUUUUAGGUGUCCAUUAAAACAUUUCUCAAGAAACUGAUUUGCUGCAGUUUUAAUGUAGUUUAAAUUUUCAACUCCAUUGUCUUAGAAGUUAGGUUUUAAAAUUAAUAAAAUGAUUCACAUAGAUUAACCUUUUAGUGUUUCUUAGAAUAUUUAGGUUUGAGUUUGGUGGAAGAAAGGAAAAAAGGUAGAAAGAAAAAGGAUUUUUGACAUGAGCAGUGCUUCUAGCUUUGGAUCUUAGUGAUAAACUAAAGUUUAUCACUUAACAUCACUUUCCUUGGUGGAAGCUGUAAUUGAUAUUUCUGGGUGGCUUUUAUCUAAUAUCUACAUGUCAUUUUGUCUCCUUUUCAGUUAAUCAACCUGUAUUAAGUGCCUACUAUGUGCCAGACAUUGUGUUAAGCACUGGGAAUACAAAAAGGAACAAAAGACAGUUUCUGCCCUCAAGGAACUUAAAAUCUAACAGGGAAGACACAUGCAAACAAAUAUAAAAAGACCUAUAUACAAGAUAAGUCAGAAGUAAUUAACAGAGGAAAGUCACUAGAAUUAAGCUCAGUAACAGACUCAUUAUUUUCUUCAUUUCAAUCUUUGGAAUAUACUUGGUUAACUUCAAUUUACAUGUAGAAAUUCCCCCCUUGUAUCCUAGUUAAUCUGCCUCUUCAUUGCUCAUAUUUUACAGCUUUUUUAUACUUUGUCCAUAAGCAAUGUAAUAUAAUACCCUUCAUCUUUUCAUCACCAAAAAUGCCUACCACCACAAUCCAUCAUUUUCAAAUUCCUCCAUAUGAUCAAAAGCUUCUCUCCUCUUUUCUCUUCCUGUGCCUUUUACUUUACUUCUCUAAAUUAUUCUCCAUCCUCAUCAAAAUCUCUGAUUAUUCCACCCUCCCAACUUCACCAGACUAUCACUUUUGUUCUAGCAUCUUGGCACUUUAGCUAACCAAUCGAACUCAAUACUGUCAUACAUUUGAGUUUUUUUCCUCUUGUCUUCUCCUGGCUCAUCCAUCCCAAAUCUUAAGCACAAAACAGUGAUGUUGAACCUUUUAGAGACUGUUUCAUGCCCUGCCCCAUACAUGAACUCCCUUUCCAUCAUAAUUCCACACUUCAAAUCUCUUCAACAUUAUCCCCAAGCCUCUCUUUUGCUGUAGUUUCAGAAAAUUUAGGACUCCUCUCCUUGCCCAACUCAAAUUCUAUUUUUGCAUCCCUGCUCUCUGUCCUCUCAUCUCCUCUAUGAGAUUGUCCUCUAAAUUAUCCUCUCUUUCUUCUUAAAAAACUUCUCAUUAUCGCCUAGUUCCUUUCCUACUCCCUAAAAAUAUGCCCAAAUCUCCUUACUCUUUUACAUUUUUUUAACCCUUCCUUACUGUCUUAGAAUUGAUACUAAGCAUCAGUCACAAGGCAGAAAAGUAGUCAAAGGCCAUGCAUUUGGGGUUAAGUGAUUUGCCCUUGUCAAAAACCUAGGAAGUGUCUGAGGCCAGAUUGGCCUAACUCACUAACUAUUGAGUGACCUCACUGUCCCUAAAUAUGUUUUCAUUCAUUAAUUCAUACUGUCAUCUCAACUAUCAUGUUAUAUUUGUUCUCACUUUCAUAGCCACACCCCCAGGAAGAAAAAACUGUCAAAUCUCCUUAACUCUACUUUCUUACCUUCAUUCAGCUUACCAUCAUUCACUUCUCAACCUAUUACAAUAGAAAUUCUAUCUCCUCCUCUUCACUGGGCUUACUUCCUGAAAAGGAAGGGAGAGAAUAAAUGUUUAUUAAGUACCUAAUAAGUGCCAGGCAAUAUGCUAAGAGCUUUACAAAUAUUAUCUCAUUUGAUCUUCACAGCCAUCCUGGGCAGUAGGUGCUAUUAUUUUACCCAUUAUACAUUUAAGGAAACUGAGGCAGACUGAGGUUAAGUGGCUUUCCCAGGAUCAUGCAACUACUAUUUAUUAUCAGAUUUUGACUCAUCUUCCUGAUUUCAGAUCCAGUGUAUUAUCCAUUAGGCAACUUACCUACCUCUAAUGACAUAAAUGAUCUCUUUAUUGAUAAACCCAAUGAUAUUUUCCCAGUUUCACAUUCUUUUUAACCUCUUUGUUUCCCACUAUUGACCACCUCCUCCAUUCUGAAUAUUGUUCCUUUCUCUGUUCUUGUGACAACUUUCUCAUAUUUUUCUUCCUACCUUUGUGUCAGACCCUUUUGUCACCUUUGUAGAAUCAUCACCCAAAUCCUGCCCAGUAUCCAUGGGUAUUUUUUCUGGGUCCUCUAAUUUUCUACCCAUAUAUUCCCUUUCAGUGAUCUCACUAAUUAGUCUGUAAAGUACUUUAAAUAUGUUCUUCCCCAUCCUCUAGUUUGUCCUUUAUCCUUUAAAGAUUUCUUGGUUGGUUACCUUCCAAAAUAUAUAUAUGUAUUAUGUAGUCAAGAAAUACCCAAUAUGUUCUAGGUAUUAUAUUAAACUAAAGCUAUAGAAAGAGAAAAACAAUCCCUGUCCUCUCAAGUAGCUCACAAUUUAAAUGAUUUAGACAGCAAGCUACCCAAGGGGAAAGUCUGCAUGUUACAGUUCUUUUGUUCUUUUUUUUUAAACCUUCACCUUCCAUCUUGGAAUCAAUACUGUGUAUUGACUCCAAGGCAUAAGAGUGGUAAGGGCUAGGCAAUGGGGGUCAAGUGACUUUCCCAGGGUCACACAUCUAGGAUGUGUCUGAGAACAGAUUUGAACCUAAGACCUCCCGUCUCUAGGCCUGGCUCUCAAUUCACUGAGCUACCCAGCUGUCCCCUCUUUUGUUCUUCAUUAUAUUUAGUGUCAUAGUUGAUUAGAGGAUCAUAAAUUUAGACCCGAAGAAGUCUUCUAGCCUCUUCACCUCUUUUUUCUUUCAACUCUUACUUCCUGUCUUACUAUCAAUUCUAAAACUGAAGAAAAGGGGCUAGACAAUGGGGGUUCGGUGACUUGCCCAAAGCCAAAGAGCUAGGAAGUAUCUGAAGUCAUAUUUGAAUCCAGGACCUCCCAUCCCUAAGUCUGGUGUUAUAUCCACUGUGCUAACUAGUUCUCCUGGCUCCUCUUCUUAUAGAUAGGAUGUGGAGACUGAGAACUAAAAUAAUGACUUGGUUAAAAAAAAUAGUCAGAGAUGAGAUUUAAACCUAGGUUUUGAAACCCCAAAUCUGGUAUUUCUACUUUCCUAAAGUGCUGCAUAUAGAAGGUUCUCAAUAGGAAUUUAUUAAUUUAAUUUCAUUGGAUAAUAAUAGUACCCACCAAGAGAGCUACUGUGAGGAUCAAAUGAGAUAAUAAUUAUAAAGUGCUUAUGAUAGUGCCUGUCACAUAGUAGUCACUAUAGAAAUAUUAGCUAUUAUUAACUAACAAAUUGACAAUUUUAUACUACAGUUUUUGAAUGAUGUUCUUAUGAGGAAGUUUUUAAAGGAUUAGAAUUUUAAAGGAUUAGUAUCUAUUACAUUUGUUCAUGAUCCCACACAUGUGUUCCUCAUUAUUGGUUAAAGUUAAUUAGCCAGUUAAUUAGCUUUUAGAAAUUGUUUGCUAAGAUAGUAAAGUAAGUACUUACUUUAGAAAGUAAAGUAAGAACUUACUUUAUAUAGUAUACAAUUGAUAAGCAUUGAUUCUAAUAGAAAGAAUUAGAACUAUUCAUAUCUUUCUAUUACAUAUUUUACAAAUGUAAUCUUAUUUUUCCAAAGAAUUGUAUGUGAUUAUCUUUUAUUCUUCUCCUAUGAGCCAGUUUUCCUGUACAUAGUGCAUUCUUUCCUCUAUUCUAUUGUCUAUGCAUAAAGUACUAUUCUGGUAUCUUGACUAGAAUAAUAUAUGGGUCAUUCACACCUUGGAAAACCAAAAUUUAUAAAUAUGCAGAGUUCUCUCCAUUCUUGGGUCACAUUAAAACUAUUGUUGCUGAAUGGUUUAUUCACUGGAAUAUCAUGAGCAAGGUUUUCUACUUAUCAACACACCAUGGCAAUUCAUGUAAUAUUUCUAUUCUCUGUGUAUAGCCUAGGAUUAUGCACCAGUUACCACAUUGAUGCUAAUAGAUAGGAUUGCCAAGUAUGAAAAACAACAGAAGGCUUUCUCAGGUUCACUUCAUUAAACAUGAACAAUUUACUUAACUCCAAUAAACACUUGUUCCUUACAUUGAAAACUCUCAAGAAAAAUUACAUUGUAAUUUUUUAUAAGGCAUAUAUAUAUAAUCACUUAAAUGAGAGAUCUAUUACAUAUAUUGUUAUUCAACAAAAAUAAGUUGCUAAUAAAAACUAUGAAGAGUACUACUAGGCAAAGUAAAUGAAAGAUUAUGUAGGAUUAUAUUUUAAAAUAGAGAGUGGUGUAGCACAUACACCAAAAGAGAGAGUAGUAAACUAAUAUUCCUUGACCCAAGGGGAUUGUGGGAGUUUAUGAUUUGGGCCAGCAGCUCUUCUCAAGGAUUCUAGUUGGCUAUUUGGGACCACAGAAUCUUAGGGGCAGCUAGUUUAGCUUCAGAAAAAUAAAUCAUAGGGUAGGGAUGAAGAACUCAAUUAUAGAAAAAAAAAAUUAGUAUCCAGUAGCCAAAGAUAAGCUAAAACCUAAGAUAAGAUAUAGUAAAAGCAUAAUAGAUCUAGAGCUAGGCGGGACCUCAAAGGACAUAUAUAGUCCAACCUUUUCACUUUAUAGGUAAGACCUAUAUGAGACCCAUAGAGGUUAACCAGUUAUCUUCAAUAAAUUCAAAUUACCAUGCCCAAAGAAAUUAUAACCCAGAGUAGUGGAGGAGAAAUUGAAUAGUGUGAUUGAUAAUCUACUUUCAGUGACCUUGGAAAGAUCCAAGAGAAUGGGAAAGUUCACCAGGGCUGCAAAAGGACAAAUGUUCCAACAUUUUCCAAAAAAGUCAGAGGCUGAAGUCUGCAAAUUAUAGGCCAUACUUUAUUUCCUGAUAAAAUUAAAGAACUUGUCAUUAAAAAUUAUGAAAGAAAUAGAUAAGGAAGAGAUGAUCCUAAAAAGCCAGGAUAACUUCAUCAAAUGGUUCUACUAGGUUGACAUAAUUUACUUUUUUUUUAAGUUACUAGACUAGGAAAUAGAGAAAUAAGUAUAAUAAUAAAUAGAUAAUAAGGAGUAAAUAUAGUUUACCUAGAUUUAACAGUACAUUUGAGUCUCUCAUGCUGCUCUUGUGAUUCUCAUGGAUGAUAUAUAGGCCAUACAAUGGUUCAUUAGGGGAAUUCACAAUUAAAUAGUUGUUUCCAAAGAACAAUCAUUAAGAUUCUGAUGUCAUCUUAUUGUAGUUUAGGAUCUUGAUUUAUUUUCCCAACUACCACUACUAUAGUUUGAAUCCCCAGUGAGUGACUGACUGUUUCUAUGGGUAACCCUGAGGAAUCAAUGUUGGUUUCUAUUACAUUUGUUCAUGAUCCCACACAUGUGUUCCUCAUUAUUGGUUAAAGUUAAUUAGCCAGUUAAUUAGCUUUUAGAAAUUGUUUGCUAAGAUAGUAAAGUAAGAACUUACUAUAUAUAGUAUACAAUUGAUAAGCAUUGAUUCUAAGGCAGAAGAGUUGUAAGAGCUAGGCAAUUGGAGUUUAAAUGACUUUCCCAGAGUCACAUAAGUAGGAAGUGUCUGGGGUGAGAUUUGAACUCAGGACCUUCCUUCUCCAGGCCUGGCUUUCUAUCCACUGAUCCUCCUAACUCCCCCUGCUUUGCUGGUUCUUUAUGUAUACUAAAUCUACUAAUCACGAGUAGAGAGCCCUUCACUCUACCCAAGGCUCUCGUGGAGUUGCUUCCCUUUUUGUUCUUAGUUCUCUUACUUGGUGAUCUCAUAAACUUCCAUGGAUUAAAUUAUCAUUUAUAUAUAAAUGAUUUCCAGGUCUCCAUAACCAAAUCUAACCUUUCUCCAUAUCUUCAGUCCUACAAAGCAGCUGCUUCUUGAAUAUCUCCAAAUAAAUGUUCCAUACACCUCCCAAAUCCAACAUGUCCACAACAGAACCCUUUUUUUAAAAAAGCUUUCCCUCUCCAGCUCUCCUAUUAGUAGGAGUCAUCCUCUAUUCCUCAUUCUAAUUCAGUCCAUAUAUCCAAUCUGUUGCCAAGUCCUGUCAGGUUCUCUCUCUGGGAAUGGGGGUACGGGAGGUGAAAAGCAUAUUCUUCUCAAAGGCAUUUAAUUUCUCAUGUUGAGUCCUUUGUAUUUCUACCUUCAAAACUAUGGUCAGUUCUCCAUCCUACUUUAAUCCUUCUAAUGCAUGUGUCUUCUUCCUUCCUAAUAGACACUUUGUUUGGACUUCAGUCUAAUAGUCACUUUCCAGGAGAGUCCUUCUUGCUACUCCCCACCUUCAGUUUGCCAAGCUGACAGAUCACACAAAUGAAGGGAAAAGACAUGGUUUUAUUAUCUCUCUGAGGUUCUUGAAACAAUCUCUCAUAUUUUCCCAGUCUGUAAGAGGAAAAGUUCUUUCCAUAUUUACAUCAAAACAUUCAACAAAUAUCCCUAAAGUCUGAUAGGGUAUUCCAAGUCUUUGAUGGGGUUUCUGCUAACAUACACCAAUUUUGCAAUGACUGAGUGGUCAUAAUGACAGACCUGUUCAGGAAUUACACCAAUUUAACACUGUCAACAAACAAGGAUGCUGCAACAUUAUUAUGGAAUACAAGACAGAAUGGUAUGUACAGUAACAUUUUAGAUACUAUGAGAUAAGUAAUCUGCUCUGCUCAGGAAUAGUCUUAACAGAAAAAUAAAAACAAAACCAAAUAAAAAACCUGAACUAUUCAUUACAGAAAAAAAAUGAGAGGAAAAAUAUCUUCUGUAGGCCCUGAUACUGCUAAAGAAAGCCAUUUUAGUCUAACCUAAAACUCCUGCAAUUUUUUUUCCUAUAAUACUUUGCUGUUACUCCUCAAAAAUCUAUUCAAGACAGAAUAUUUACCACUGAUUGCAGCCUUUACCUACUGGAAACUCCCAUUGAGAUUAAGAGUUGGCCCAAUGGAUAUAGCACUGGACUUGGAUUCAAGGAAUUGAUAUUUAAAGCCUGAUCCUCAUAGAGGUAGUGUGACAAUGGGAAAGCCAUUUCUACUCUCUAUAUGCAUUUCCUACUCUUUAAAAUCAGGAUAAUAAUAGCAUCCACCUCAUGGAAAUGAGAUAUUAUUAGUAAACUGCUUUGCAAAGCUUAAAGUGCCAUACAAAUGUUACCUACUAUUAUUAACAUCAUCAUUAUUAGAUCCAGUGAUUAUAAUUCACUUAGACUACAUAGCAUAAUAAAUAAUGCAACAUAUUUUAUUUCAAUUUGAUAAGCAUGAUAAUAUCAAGAUGCAUUAAGCUUAAGAAAACAUGAUUCACAGCUAUUACUUACAUAUCAACUCCAAUAUGUUCUCCAUGAACUCAUACUCUGGCGUGCAUUCUAUUCAACUCCCGGUACUACCUCUAUGCCCACAGAAGUAAAGUAGACAGAUAUAUUGCCCUCUCAUUAACUCUUCUGUUUCCCAUUGCAGCAAGACGGAGAAAGAGUUCAGUACCUCAUAGUAGUGGCUCCUGGGGCACCCUAGGCUAAUCAUUCUGUCUUGAAGGAAAUGAAUGAAACUCUACCCAAAUAUUUCUGUACCUCUCAAAAUUGCUGCCUCCCCUGCUCUGGGUAUGUGCUGUUACAGUCUGGCUUCUUUCUACCCUAUAUCCCAAACAAGGUGAUAAGCAUUUCAUGAAGAAAAGUCAGACAAACUAUAACAGGAAUGUCCCAGGACUUCAUCUAUUCUGAAGAUAUGUCCAUUUUAUUAAGAAGUAUAACAGUAACCCUGAGCACAUCCAAAGCUGGUCAAACAGGGUUAUUAUGAAGGGAUUCAAGUACAUGCCAAAUAAGUGCAAGGAAUAUGUCCUGGCCCUCUCUCUCAGAACCUAGUGGACUUUUUCCCCUCGGGAUUCUCAUGUACCUCAAAGGAUUUGAACAUUGUUUCUUUUCUCCACUGACAAUGUCUUAAGUUCUGUACUGCAAUAGUAGUACAAUUUUCUGUCUUAGCUGAUAAGAGUAUUUUAAGUUUGAUGUUUGCAUAGUAGUUAUGUUCAUCUUUUGUUUGAUGUUAUUUGCUGUCUUGAUUUUGCUUCUGUUUGACAUUUGUACUUGUUUAUUAUUUAAUCCCUUUUCCUUUUUCCUUGUUAAAAUUCCCUAGAAUAGGUUAGUAUUAGUUAGAGUAAGAUAGUUGAGUGUAGGUUGUUUGUUAUUUUGGGUAGAUUUCUUAGUUUAGGUAAUUGGUAAGUAUUUUGGUUUGUGCACAAAUACAAAAAUGGUGUUUCCAACAUGAUUUUUGAUUCAUGCAAAAGGGGGGAAUGUCAUGAAGAAUGAACAGUUUGCAAAAAACUGAGAGGUGCAAAAGUCAGAAUGAGUGAUUGACAGGAGCAUGUGACUAAGAGUCACAUGGGAGCCUAAGGCUGGAGAUCUGGAAUAAGAUUCUAUGCCCCAACAGUCAGACAUCUUUUCUCCUGAAGGACCUUGGAAAAACAGGUAUUCUACUUCUUCUAACAACAGCUAAAGAGGGAAAUCUUUGAAUCUAGCUGCUGGCAGCUUGAGGAAAAUAAGAUUGAAGGCAUACAUCACCUCUGAAGAUCCUGGCCUUUUGAUUGAACUCCUUGUCUGAGAGUUGGCUAUUGGGGAAAAUUACUGUUUUGCUUAGAAAGAUAGUUUUAGAUAGUUUAUAGACAUUAGAUUUUAAGAUAACUAGUAUAAUUUUCUCUUAAAACCCCUGUUCCUUCCUCCCCUUUCCAACCAAUAAAUCUGAAUUAUUUAUAUGUUCCCUUUGUGUACAUUCCUCACCAAAUUCCCAAUAUAACAGUUACCACCAAAUACAUCAGGUAAACUUUUAUAAAGGGAUAUUCAUUUUGAAAAUAUAGCAGUAACAAACAUAUAAACACUUUCCCUAAUACAAGCAGGGGAGAAUUGUUCUCUGUGCCAUUUGGUCUCUAAGGUCAACAGAGAAAUUAGGUUCAAAACUCACUUCAUUUCCUACGUAAUAUUGAUCCCACCAAAUUCAUAUCUAAAGACUGUAUAGCUGCUAGCUUUGCAGAUCUCUUCCAUUUUUGCCAUGGCUCCUCAGAUAUUGGGCUUGUUGCAAUGCCAAAUCUGGAUUCCUGGACUCCCAUAGUCCUGUGGAUUGGGCGCCUAGCCUUUGGCACUUCCAAAAUCAGUGUCUCUACUCCCUGUACUUGGAAUGGAAAAAAUGAACAAAAAGCUCAAAAGAUAUUAAUUUCUCAUGAGCCAUAUGGUACCAGAGUUGAAGGCCUCAUGACCCCUUCACCUUAAAGAAUAAUCUCUUAUAUGCUGCUCUAAGACAAGGACUCACUUUUCUCUUCUAGAGGCAUAUGCAGCAAAUAAAUGUGCCUGAAGCUGACUCAAGAUUUUGGGAAGAUAUCCUUCCAACUACUCAGCCACUGGAAAAAGGCUUCUCCCAUCUAUUUGGGAGGCCAACCAGAACAAGUUACAAAAUGUCCAUACUUCUGCUUCUCUCCCAGAUCAUCACAACCAUAUUAGAAGCAAGUCCCUGGAGUCUUCCACUUGGAGACACCACCUUAGCAAGCUGAUGAGUCCUGUACAGGUUCCAAAUCCCUAUUAUGCAAGGAUUGCUUGAAGAAACAACAAAUGUUUAGCUUCACCAAAAAGAAUCCUCAAGGGAAACAUCAUUGCUCUCUUCAAGUCUUUGCAAGGCUGACACUAGAAAAGGAAUUAGACUUGCUAUGCUUGGAUCCCAAAGGCAAACUCCAAAUGAGUACAAAGAAGUUACAAAGAGGACAAUUAUAACUAGUGCAAGGAAAAGUUUCCUAACAAUUGAACUACCCAAGAGUGGUGUGGGCUGCCUCAGGAAGGAAGCAGUUUUUUCUUCCAUUGAGUAGUUUGAAAACUUUGUCAAAUAUAUUUGAUGAGGAGCUCUUCUAGGGCCCUUUAUUAGAUUAGAUGACUCUCAUGCUUCUAUGCAACUCUUAAAUACUUUGGGGAAGUAGGUUAAAUAUAAGCAUUACCAUCCCCAUUUUACAAAAUUAGGAGCAAGGAGUACAAGUUGAAAAGGAGUAGAUUUUUGUCUUGAUGAAAGGGAAAACUUCUUGGCAUUUGGUCUAUCAAAAAACAGAAUAGGUUGUCUUAGAAAGUAGAUGUCUCAAGUCUAGAGACGGGAAGUCCUGAGUUCAAAUCUAGCCUCAGACAUUUCCUAGCUGGGUAAGUCACUUGACCUCCAUUGCCUAACCCUUACUGCUCUUCUCUCUUGGAACCAAUACACAAUUUUCAUUCUAAGAUGAAAGGUAAAGGUUUUUUAAAAAUAAAGAAAGUAGAAGUCUUCAAACAAAGACUAGAUAAAUAGUUGGGCAGUACGUUAUCAUAGGGAUUCUUAUCCAGGUAAGGCUGGACUAGAUGACUUCUGAUAUCCUUUUCUAAUAGAAUGUCUGAUCCUUUCUUUAAAACAUUGUAUAUCUGGUGUCAAAUGGAUCCUCCAGUGCCAGCUAAACCAACUUUCUCAUUUUAAAGAUGAGCAAACCAAAAUUCUCUGAGGCCAAGUGAUUUGCCCAGAGUCUCACAGAUAAUUAGUAGGAUUGAAAUUCCAAUUCUUGGACUCCAAAUCUAGUGCUUUUGACAAUGUGCACCCCCCCCCCCAGGAUUUAUGCCAGAGCUGUGCCUCAUUUCUAGUCAUCUUCCCAUCACUUAUUUUCACAAUACCAAAUGAAUUUUUUAAAUUCUGAACUUAACAAAUACUAAAUAAAAUGAUCAUUUCUAUAUACAAAGUAGAGCAGAAAAGGAAUUGUACAUGGAACUACAAAAUCUUUAUUGUUAUAAUCUUUUUUUUAAAAAUAUGUAAUAUGUAUGUAAUAAAUUCAGUAUAUAACUUCCCAGGCAGGUCUUGUUUGCCUGUGAUUCAUUUUGGCUUUUUUCCUGUUCACUUCUGUGCAUUCUCUUUUUUAAUAUACUCAAAAAUUUUCACUUUAUGUUUUCUAAUGCUCUCAUCUCUUUCUUACUUAAAAAUUCCUUUCCUAUCCAUAAAUCUGAUGGGUAAUAAGUUCCCUGUUCUUCUAAUUUUCUUAUGAUACCUCUUUUUAUAUUUAGAUCAUGCAUCCAUUUUGAUAUUGGUCAAUACCUAGUAUCUACCAAAAUACUUUCCAGUUGUCCUAGAAACUUUUACCAAAUGAUGAUUUUUUUUAAUCUCAAUAACUUGGAUUUUUCAUUACUGAUUGUUGUAUAUCUGUUCUGUUCCACUGAUCUACCUUACUAUUUCUUAGCCAGUACUAGAUAAUUUUGAUAAUUACUGCUUGGUAAUAUGGUUUAAGAUCUGAUACUACUAGACCUCCUUCCUUUAUAUAUUUUUUCAUUAAUUCUUUUGCUACUCUUGAUCUUUUGUUCUUUCAAAUGAAUUUUGUUGUUUUUCUAAUUCAAUAAAAUAAUGUUGUUGAUAAUUUGAUUGGGAAGGUUGUGAAUAAGUACAUUAGUUCAGUUAGGGUUGUAAUUUUAAAUAUAUUGGCUCUGUCUGUUCACAGCAAUAUUUCCCCAAUUGUUUAGAUGUGACUUUAUUUGUGUAAAAAGUGAAUUUUUCCAUAAACUUUUUCUGCAUAUAUUGAUAUCAUCAUAUGAUAAUUAUUACUUUUAUCACCAAUAUCAAUUAUAUUGAUAGUUUUCCCAAUAUUAAACCAUCCCUGCAUUCUUGGUAUAAGUUCUUUUUGGUCACAAUGUAUAAUCUUUGUGAUGUAUUGUUAUAGUUUCUUAGCUAGUGUUUUAUUUAGUAUUUUUGCAUCAAUAUUCAUUAAUGAAAUCAGUGGUCUAUAUAUUUUUUUCUUUUUUGUUCUUCCUGGUUUAGGUAUCAGUAUCAUAUUUAUUUCAUAUAAGGAAAUUUCAAAAUAUUUCAAAGACCUUUUUUCUUUAUUUUCUUUUCCUUGUAUUUUUAGGAAGUACCCUAUACCUAGUUUCCCUUCCUAUUUCCCCAAAUUGAAGGAAAAAUAGAAAAAUAAAAUGAAACUGUUUCAUCAGUAUGCAUGGUCAAAUAAAAUAAAUUCCCACAAUUGGCUUUGCCUAAAAAUGUAUGACUUAUUCUCAUCUUUAGUAUAUCAUCUCUACAUGAGGAGAUGGUGACAUGUUCCAUUAUCAGUUCUCUAGAAUUGUGGUUAGAAUUGAGGGAAAUUCUUGGGUCUUCCAAGUUUUUUUUUUUCCUUAACAAUAUUGUUGUUACUGUAUAAGCAGUUUUCCUGGUACCAUUUAUUUCACAUUCAAUCAGUUUGUAUUAAUCUUCCCAAGAUUCCCUGAAACAGCCUUUUGUGUCAUUAAAAUUUUAUGACAAAAAAACACUCCAUUGCAUUCAUUUUCAACUAAUUCUCCGAUCAAUAAUACUGCUUCAUUUCUAUUUCUUAGCUAUAAGAAAAAGUACAUCUUAAAAAUAUAGACAUGAAUUUUUGCAAAUGGCGGGGUCCCUUUCCUUCUUUGAUCUUUUGGGGAUAUAGGCAUGAUAAUGAUAUUAUAGGGCCAAAGCAUAUGAAUAGCUGAGUGAUUUGGGGAACAUAGUUCCAGAAUGCUUUCCCAGGGUGGCUGAACUAAAUCAGAGCUCCAACAACCAUGCAUUAGUGUCCUGGCUUUUUAACAUCAUCUUUGACAAUCUUAAUAGAUUAGUGUUGUUUUAAUAUACAUUUCUUCAAUCAUUAGUGAUUUGUAGCACUUUUUCAUAAAGUAGUGAUAACUUAGAUUUCUUUCUUUGAAAACUGCCUAUUCGUAUCUUUCAACUGUUUAUCUGUUUAAAAAUCACUGUCUUGGAUUCAUUAACUUUGUCAGAAAAACUUGCUGCAAAGGUUACUUUUCCCCAGUUAAUUUUUUGCCCUUCUAACUUUAAAUGCAUUGGUUUUGUUUGUGUUAAAAAAUUUUUUUUGAUUUUGUGCAGAUGAAUUUUUUCCUUUUAAUCUUCUGUGCUCUUCUCUAACACUUAUUUUGCAUUAAUUCUCCAUCAAUCCAUCACUACAAAUGGAUUUAUUGUCUUAUUUCACCAAAUGAUUUUUAAAUGAAGAUUGUAGACAUAGGAAUGGUGAGGAAAUGAAGGCAUAUUAUUUCCGAUGGCAAAGAUGACUCAGACCAAUCUUUUCUAAAGACAUAACUUUAUUAUUGCAAAAUCUGAGAAGCAGAAAUUCAUUAGAGUAGUCUGAGGUCUCAAGAUAUAAAUAUCCUUAUUUUCUCAGAAUUAAUCACUCAAUAGCUAUAAACUUUAAAUUUAGUCUUCUUUUUAACCUUUCUCUUAUACUCUCAGAGGUGUAAAGUACAGUACAUAUCAUAACAACCUGGGUUGAACCUAGUUAGUAUCUGAAUGGAAACUUUCCAAGUUCUUAGAAAGAUAUGUGUUAUAUCAAGUUGGAUAUACCCAUACCCUCAGAAUCCUAUUCUGACUAUACUUGACAGUUUCCCCAUUUGUAGGAGUAUAAAAUGAAGGUUCCAAUCCAUAUGAUCUUUUGAACUUUAUGAUACUACAGUUUAAAGAUUUUCCAACAAAUUUCAAUUUAGGCUGCUAAAGAAAAUUCUCAGUGUACAAACUAGCUACUUCCUCCUCCAGUUUCAAUGGAAAGGGAGAGACUUUUCCACUAAUUCUUUUAAACCCCUGUCGUAUAGUGUCUUUUUGUAAGGUCCAAGGUUUUCUGCUUCGUACACCUGAAAGGGAAGAAAUUAAAUAUCAGCCACAAGUGGAACACUUUCAUUUUGAUCUCUUGCUUAGAAACUGGUCUUUAUAAAAAUCAUUGUGGGUAUGAAAAUUGCUCUAAAAGUUUUCAACCAUUUUAAAGCCUUUCUUAUAUUCCUUUAGUUAAAUGUUGGAGGUUGGGGUGUGGUCUGGGAGGAGAUAAUGAAGUCUUUUUUUUUUCCCAUAGCUCAUUCUACUUCUGAGUUAUAGAAUAAUGAUUUGGGGGAUUUUUUAUAUCAGCAAAGAAUAUAGUUUCUUUUACUGUUGAAAAUUAUUAUGAUUGAGGAAAGAGUCAAGACCAUGGCACAAUGUAGAAGUCAUUCAUUGUAUUUAAUGCUCCUUUUCAUUUUUAAAAAUCUAAAAGGAAAAAUUUCAAAAUAUCAUAAUUCAACAUAGAGUAAGAUAUAGGCAAAGAAGGAUCUCAAAAAAAGCACUUUCAGAAAUAUGAGAAGGGAGAGAUCACUUUCUGGUGACAGGAUCAGGGAAAACUUCCUUUAUAAGGUAGCACCUGUGCUGCACCAUAAGGAAAUUAUGGGUUUGAGCAGGUAAAGAUCAGAAGUAGCAUCUUCAAGACUUUGAGAAUCACCUGCUUGAAUGCUUGAAGAUGGGAUAGGACAUUCAAAUCAGCAACUCUGCAUUAAGUACCUACUAGGACAAGAGAGUAUGCCUUCAAAAUUUUUCAUUCUUAAUUCAGGAUCUAAGAUAUAAAUUUGAAAAAUAAAAUAUGUAUUACAUAGCAAUAUAAAAUCAUAUCAUAAGAUUGAAUAUUAUUUGGAGCCAAUUAGUAUAACAAACACAAAAUAUUAGGAUAAUUUUUGAGAAGGGAGAGAUCAUCAUAGGUUAGUCAGGUCAGUUUCAUGGAGGAUGUGGAAUUUCAGUUACAUCUUAGUGAAUAAGCAGGAUUUGGGUAGCUAUAUCAGAGUGGCAAAGGCCUUCUAAGCAUAGCAAAUAAUAUAAGCAAAGGUGAAUAGCCAGGAAGAAAUUUGGCAUUUUUAGAGGACAAUAAGAACACCAACAGUUAUAGCUGAGGAUUCCUGCAGAAUAGCAGCAGAAAAUAAAACAGAAUCAUUAGGUUGGGAUGAGAUGUUGAAAGGUUUUGAAUGCAAGGCUAAAGAUAUUGAGUUGUAUCCCAAAUCCUCAGAAUUUGCUUGAUUUUGAUCCAAGGUCAUUAUUUCAUCGUAUAUGUCAUGGAAAAUUAGUGGCAGCACAACAUAGUAAACUACUGAGAAUCAAGUCAAGAAAGACCUUAGCUUACAUCCUAUCUCUGAUACUUAUUAACUUUUGUAUCUUAGGCAAGUCAUUACCUCUGUGAGCUUCAGGCCACCUCUAGGAUCUAACUACCAAAUCCCAGGAUGUUAGGAGCUAGAGUUCCUUGCAAAAUCUAAUAUACUCAUAUAAGAAAAGCUAUUAAUGUUUGGCCAGACCAAUGAACAAUGGCAAUUUAAGAACAGCAUAUAAAUGCUGUUGAUUGAUACCUGUGGUAUUAAUUACAACUGUUAUAUUCUUAUCUCCCUAAAAAUUCUAUAAGGAAGAUUGUCAGCUACUUCUACCAAUGGGUUAAACAAUAAUGAAAGGAACGGGGAAUAAUACAUCUAGAAAUGACAACUCUAAAGUCUCCAACUCUUCCCCAGUAUCUGACAGAAUCUCCCUUAGUACCCUCCUUCCUCUAGAAUUUUUAAGUUAAUCAGUGGACCUUUCUGAAGAAUUAUAAGGCUUUUACUACAAAAAUAAUUAAAUGAAACAAUUUCCUAUGCCUAAAAUGAUCAAAUAUGUUUCUGAAAUUAGAAAAAUACAGAUUCAUACCAAAAAUAUAGCUGUAAUGAAACUGCAUGUCCUUUAUUGAUUUUAUUAUGAAAUAGUUUCUUGCUCUGUUCUUAAUUCAGAGCAAUGAAAUGCUGUUGAUUUAGUUUAAAAUAAAAUAUUGAAAAAUCCUUGUGCUCUAGGAGACUUGUCACUCUAAUGGGUGCCUAAUUCACUAUAACAGUAUUUUGGCUAUAUUGGAGCACAAUGAAAGGAAUUAGAUUUAGCUUUGCCAGAAUUUCACUGUGAAAGAGUUUGCUGUAACAGUGUUUUAUUAUAUUCCUGUUGAACUCCAGCCAAUUGAAAAUAGAAUCUCCUCUCCAUUCUUUUAAAUUAGCCUUAACCUAUAAACAAAAGACAAAAUCAAUGUCCAAAUGUAGCUUCUCAUGCCUAGUCCUUUAAGAAAUUUGUUCUAGUGCUAAUGUGUAGGACUCACAGUUAAUGGAACAUAUAGUAAUUGAAAAUGGUAAAGUCAGAUUUCUCACUCAGUUUAGACUAUUCAAGUACCCAGGAAGUGAUCUAUAAAAAUUGCCCCAUUAGUUCUCCGGGAGAGUUAGCACACAGUGGAUGGACAGGGGCUUCAAAGUCAGGAAGACCUAGGUUCAAUAACUUCCCCUGGCAUAUACUAGAAUGCAUUUUGUGACCCUGAGACAAAUCAGUUAACCUUUUAGUGCCCUCAGGCAAAUCCCAAAAGCUAUCAAUUGCAGAAUAGUUUUAGAUUUGUUAUAGAAGGAGUUCCCUACACCAGAGAUGUCAUGACUCUGUACCAAAUAUUUUAGCUCAAACUGAGACCUACACAUAUAGCUCUAUAGCUGAGAAAUGUAUGAUCUCUAUAGCAAAUAUAUAUACAUGUUGCAUUGUAUAUAUAUAUAUAUAUAUAUACAUUAUAUAUAAUAUAGAAGCACAUAUAGAGAUCAUAAACUUUCAGCUUUAGAUCUGAAAAAGGACCUUGUCUUGUCCAGUUGAACCUUAGCAAAGGCAUAGAAACUUGUCUAGGGUGUUAGACAAAGUCAUCAUCAGUCAAGUCAGAAAUCAGUGGCUUAGUUCUCCAAAUCCAGUGCUCAUUUUACUAUCCUGCACAUUUCUAGUUCAAUAAAAGGGUUUCUAAAGGAUAAAGUCCAGUGACUAGAAUAGGUUGAAGUAGAAUGUCCUAUACUUAAAAAAAUUAUAGUGAAACCACUAAUAAGAAAUUAUUGGGCAUAAACUCAAAAAAGUAAUUCAAUGCUUUGUGUUGAUAAUUAACAGAAGGUUUUAUAUAAAUUAAUUACUAAAAAAAGAGGAAACUAGAGGCAGAUUUAAACCAACCAACAAUAAAUGUACUAUUUAUGUAUGAUGGCUAUGUAAAAUUAUCCAUGUCUUGAUUCUUCAGAUUCUAAGAAAACCUCUGAUAUUUUAUUAUAUUUAUAUGUAUGUAUAUAUAAAUUAUAUAAAUAAAAAUAUUUUCUAUAAAACCCUUUCCUUCUGUCUUGGAAUCAAUCCAAGGAAGAGUAAUGGUAAGGACUAGACAAUGAAGGUUAGGUGACUUACUCAGGAUGUCACAGCUAGGAAGUGUCUGAGGCUAGAUAUUACCUCCUGCCUCUAGGCCUGUCUCUCAAUCCUCUGGGCCACCUAGAUUCCCCUCAAUAUUUUAUUUAUUCAAAAUUAUUGAUGUGUAUGUGUCAAGACAUUGAAUCUCGCCAAAAAAAAUCUCCUAAAAGAGAAGGAAGGAGUGAACUCUACUUGCAAGUUAAUGAAAGCAGCUUUUUUUCAGAUGUGGUAUAGUAGUAACGAAGGACAUAUUGGAAAGAGAGCUCAAGAGGCAAAAAAAAAAUUCAUAUAUGAAAGGUGGUGGGUGUUUUAAAAAAUAUAAUUUUAUGGAUUUGGGAGCAAGCUACACUAUACAGCAUAAAAGAGAAUAAAAACUUUAAUAAGAUCUAUUUGCCCAAACCCAGAACCCUUUAAAGAAAGACCUCAAUGGCAAGUGAGAAUGCUACAAAUAGUAUAAAUUGGAUCACUAAAGAGAAGAAUUUUGUUAAUUACAUGAUUUCCCACAAGGUUAAAAAGACUAAAGCCAGAAAGGUGAUGUAAUUAACGUGGCAAUGAACAAAAAAAAGAACUAAAAAUGUCAUCAUUUAUAUUAGAUGAGAGAGAACAUUUUUGUCUUCCUAACAGAAAGGAAAAGAAAAUUAUUAAUAAAGGGUGGUGAAAAGGCAGAGGUAGUUAAUGUUGCAUUCAUUUCUGCUGCCAUGGAAGAGUUGAUGAGAAUUGUUGUCUAGAACCAGUCCUGGUUAGUGUAGAAAAGUAAAACCUUUUAAAAAAAGAUAGAAGCCUUAUUACAAAAGUACCCCUAGAAAACUGAGCCAACCAUUGUGGAAAGCAAUUUGGACUUCUGUCCCCAAAGUGACUAAAUUGUGCAUGCUUUUAAAACCAAUGAAUAUUGGACUAUAACUAUUAUGCCUCUACCCCGAAGGGAAAAAAAAAGAGGAAAAGGAAGUAUUAUGUGUAUAAACAUACUAUUAACAGCUGUUUUGUGGUGGCAAAGAACUAGAAAUAAAAGAGGUCCUCAUCAAAUGGAAAAUAGCUGAACAAAUUAUGAUAAAUGAAUGUAAUAAGAUAGUUGAGUUGAGCUGUAAGAAAUGAAGAAAGAGCAUAUUUCAGAGAAACCUGGGAAGACUUGUAGGUAUUGAUGCAGAAGUAAAAGCAAAACCAGGGGUACAAUUUAUAUUAUAACUUCAUCAUUAUGAAAAUGAAUAAUUUUAAGGAUUUAAGAACUUUGAAAAAUGUAAUAAUCAAUCAUGAUUCCAGAGGACUAAUGAUGAAGAAUGUGCCUUACCUCUAGACAGAGAGGUGCAAACUUAAUAUGCCGAAUAAGGCACACAUUUUUAGACAGGACUAAUACGGGAAUUUGUUUUGCUUGACUGUGCACAUUUUUCAUAAGGGUUCUCCCUGAUUUGGGUGAAAAGAGGUAGGUAGAAGAGAGAAAGAAGAAAAAAGCCUUGUUAAUGGACAAUAAAGGAACUCAAAAUGCCUACUAAAGUUAACAGGAAAGAAUUUAAGUAUAUAGACCUUUGGUAUAGAUUCUUCAAAGAGCAAUACUGUAGUACUUCUUAAACUGAAGAUGAUUUGGGGAAAAUGCAUAAUUCCAAUCAGUAGGGCUUGGUGAAAUUCACCCAGUAUUUUAAAAAUCAGUGACAGGUAUCAUAGGACCACUUGCCAUUCCUGUUUUUGAGACAUCAUGGAAGAUGAGAUUCUUCCUUGAUGAAAAAGGCCAGUCACAUAGUGACCCAUUGUUAAACAGAAUGACCUUGGUAAUUACAGACUAGUCAGUCUAACCUUGACGGCUGGGAGGACAGAAGAACACAAAAUAACUCAAAGCAACUGUCAUGAUUUUGAGAAAAAUAAACUUCAGUUGUUUCCCCCACACAGCCUCCUUGCCCUAUAAAUGAUAAUCCCUUAGAAUUAAAUUCAGUGCAUUUCAAUUCAAUAAGUGAGAAGAAAGUUCAAGAGUACAUUUCAACUCAUAUUCAAAAUGAAAAAUUCCCUAGUAAAGGAGUUUUACUUGAUUUCACUCUUUGUUUAUAAAUUUAGCAUUUAUUCUGUUUUUUUUUACCUUUAUUAUUCCAUCAUCUUUGACCCACUAUCCUGUAUCAGUAUGUCCUGGCUUAAAACUGACUCCUUAAAACCCACUGUAUGUUACUUAUCACAAUCCCAUACACAAGCAGACUCUAAAUCUGAGUAAGGUGAAGCAUAGCAGAAUGCCAGGUAGCAGAAGAAGCACCAAAAGGUACUCCAAGCUUGAUGUCAUAAUAUCUAGGUUAGAGUCACAGUGUUAGAGUCACUUAACAAAUAGAAAAAUCUACCUGAGCCUCAGUUUCCUUAUCUGAUAAAUAUGAAUAAAAAUAAAAAUAAUGUAUUAAGUAAUGUAAUAUAAUAAUAUAAAAAUAUAUCUAAUAUAAAUAAAAAUAACAGGAAGAAGAAUAUAUAUAAAAUAAAAGAAACAGUAAUUAAUGAAUACAAAUAAAAUAAAUAUGAAUAAAAACCUGUCCUACCUAGCUCACCUGAACAAACUGUAAAGUGGGGCAUACAUUUGAGAUUUAGUGAUGAUAAUGAUGACAACAAUGAUGAUGAUGACAAUGAUAAUGAAAUAUUUUUGAAUAUAGGCUAGGAAAAAUAAGAUCUAUAACUUUUUAUUUAACCCUUACUUUCUAUCUUAGAAUCAAGACUAAAUAUUGUAGGUAAAGGUAAAAGGACAAUAAGAUCUAUGAAAUUGGGAUUAAGUGACUCGUCCAGGGUCACAAGGCUAGGGAGUUUCUGAGCCCGGAUUUGAACCUAGGGCCUCCCAUCUCUAGUCCUGACUUUUUAUUUGCUGAGUCACUUAGUUGCCCCUAGAUGUAUAACUUUUAAUUGGGAAAUAAGAAAUUUACCUAGAUGCUGACUUGGAUGUAAAUCAUAACCAUUUGUUCUUCCAAAGAAAUCCAAUUCUUCCUCCUUGGAAGCCUCGAUCUUCAGGGACAACCUUUCUUAGAACUAAGGCUUUUAUAUGUCUUUUACAAGUUGUUAUUUUUUCCUCUACCCCCCCCCCCAAAAAAAAGUUUAAUGCUGGUUUUUAUAGUACUCCAAAGGAAAUGGGUACAUAUAAACACUGUGUUUGGAAUUACAAACAUGAGUUCAAAUUCCAUCUCUACUACUUUUGGACAACUAGAUGGCACAGUGGAUAAAUAUAAGACUUAAUGUCAGGAAGGUCUGAAUUUGAAUUCUUCCCCAGAUACUUACCAGUUAUGUGACCCUGUAUAAGUCACUUAACCUAUUUGCAUUAGUUCUUUUUCUGUAAGAUGGGGAUAAGAAUAACAUCUACCUCACUGUGUUGUCGCAAGGAUCAAAUGAAUAAAUAUAUACAGAGUGCUGUGCAAGCCUUAAAGAAUUAUAGAAAUAUUGAUUGUAAUUCUCAUUAUAAUUAUCAUCCAUAUAACCUUGGAUAAGACAUUUAACCUGUCUAGGCCUCAGCCCACUACUAUAUAAAAUAAAAUGUUUGACCAAAUGAUCUCUAAGGUCUCUUCCAGUUCAAAAUACAUUACCCUAUGAUCUUGCUAUGUGGACGUGUGUUGCCAUCUCUUGAUAUAUGGUGAGUGAUAGCUCUGUUUUUUUUAACACAGUACUUGAUGGUUACUUCAUUUGCUUUUUCCUGUUUUUCUGCUUCACAAGUCAGGGAGGCACGACCACUUAAAUGUGUAAAUAAGUCUACAUUUCUUGGCUACUAAGCACAUUUUAUUUAGCUUCCAUGGAGAUGGGCACAAGUCAAAAUUUGAAGUCAAAACAAUACAACAAAUUAGAAGGGCCAAUUAAUUCACAUAGCCUCAUGUUAGUUGGAGGUGAAAUACAAAGGUCCCAUAACCACGGUUCUUUCUCUUAAGUAGCUUACAAUCUAGCAAGGAAGGGAAAAAACAAGAUAGUUAAUUAACUACAAUACAUUAAAUUAUAUUUAGAGUGUUAUUUGAGUUCUGGAGGAAAAUUAUUUGCAGACAUUAGAGAUUUUUUUUAAACCCUUACUUUCCAUCUUAGAAUCGAUACUAUGUAUUGGUUUUAAAGCAGAAGAGUGGUAAGGGCUUGACAAUGGGGCUUAAGUGACUUGUCCAGGGUCACACAGCUAAGAAGGGCCUGAGGUCAUUUUACUAAGUUUAAAUCUGAUCUCAGACACUUGCUAGUUGUAUGACAUUGGAUAAGUCUCAUAAUCCUAUAUGCCUCUGUUUCCUCAUCUGUAAAAUGGGCUGGAAAAGGAAAUGGAAAAUCACUCUCAUACCUUUGUAAAAAAAACCAGACAUCCCACAGGAGCACAUUGGAUUUUUGUAAGUGGGCAAUAUCAAUAGCCAGUGCCAGAGAAGUGGCAAUGAAAAUAGAAGUGAAGUAAUAGGAACAAUAAGUGUUGUGAAGAUAGAAUCAAUAGGAUUUGGUGAUUAAUCAAAUAUUAUAGGUGAGGAAGAAGGAUAAGUCAAAGAUAAUCCCAAGAAGAGCACACAUAAAGUAGUGGAAUCAGGAGGGGGAAAGAAUCAGUAACCCUCAAUUGGAGGGAUUACCUUUUGUCAAGUAGACAAAUACCAGAAUCAGGAAUAUAUAUAGUAUCUUACUUGGAGUCCUAGAAAUAAUUAUAAAACACAUGGGGUCAUAGUAUCAUAUAGGUCUACAGAUAACAAAGAUCUAGAGUUCAUCAUUUUACAGAAAAAGAAAUAAAGUCCCUACGAAGUUAAGUGGCUUUUAUCAAUAUCAUUGCCUGACCAGGCUGUCAGUCAGCAUCAAGCUAGCUAGUGGCCAUUUGAAUGAGAUGCUCAACUGGCUGACUUUGAUGCUUAUGGAGAAACCUACAACCCUAUGGUAACCCAGUCAUCCAGUGACAGAAUAUUCAAAAGAAUUUUAGAAGAUGCUAGUCAUACGAUCUCCAUCCUUCCACUAUUUCAUCACAAGAUUCAAGGCAGCAGUUUGAGAGACCUGCUUCUAUCAUAGAAACACUAGAUGAUUUGAUAUCCUCAACUUUCUGAUUUGAGUUCCCUUUACCCUUCAUAACUAACUGAACAAGGGAAAGGCAGGGGGACCUCAUCUAGCAGGAUCCCCCAGUCCUCCAGGAGAAGAGAAGAUAUUCUUCAGAAAGCUAUCUCAAGAACUUUUAUAUUAUCCCUAAUAAGAAAAAAGAAUAAUAAAAGCAACUCCCAUUUAUAUGGUACUUUAAAAAAAAAAUCCUUACCUUCAGUUUUAGUAUCAAGUCUAAGCAAGGCAAUUGAAGUUAAGUGACUUGUCCAGGGUCACACAGCUAAAGGGGAUCUCAGACUAGAUUUAAACUAAGAUUCUCCUGACUCUAGACCUAUCCACUGUGCUACCUACCUGCCCUUAUAUGGUGCUUUACAGUUCACAAAGUUCUCUAUGUAAUCAAUACUCUCUGAGGUACUUUAAAAAAACAAACCCCAUCCUCUCCAUUUCACAAAGCAAGAAAUGACUCCUCAGGAAGACUAAGGAACUUGCUCAUGGUCAACUUGCUAUUAGGUUUUAGUGUUGGGAUUUGAAUCCAAGUCUCCUAAUUCCAAAUCCAGUGUCCAUUUCUCAUUUCAUUAAUAUACACUUCUUUCUAGUCUUUUGUAUAUAAUUUCAAUCUGGAUGUAUUAGGCAUUCAGAAGCUCAUUCCUUUUUUGUAAAAGUGCUAGAUCUUAUGUCUGAAUGCCAUCUAAUCUGGUCAAUAGGAGUCACACUAAUUAAGCAAAGGGUCAUCUUAGCCUGGUUUUUUUCAAUAUCACUUCUCAUGCUUUGUCUGGUUUUCAUAAUUGUUGUAUUUUCUGCUGCCAAAUUCCCUUAGUAGUUGCAAUCCUAACUGAGUUAAUUUCCUGCACCAGGCUGUUGCUGUGCAUUAUAGUCACAAACUGAAAAACAGCUGUCAUUGUCCAUCCAGAUACAGCCCCAUGGUGGGGAAGUGAUUCCUUUAUACAAGGAGGGACAAUGCUUGGAAUGCUUCCAAGAGCUAUACAAAUGUUGCCAUUUAUUAGGAAUAAUAAAGAAAUUCCUGUCAGAGAUUGAAUACUUUCUUUCAUGUGUGCCUUUGCCCAAAAGAAGAGCACAUCUCUUGCUUUGAAAUAUAGAUCCUAAAUUCUUGGGCUACUUGAACAUUAGCAGAUAUUUUAGUAAUAAUCUAAGAUAACUGCAAAGCAGUUAACUGGGUAAUAUUGCAGAGAAAAUUUUGCUAGAACAAAUCAGAGUGGAAAUUUAUAACUCGGGUACAGUCUCUUGUCUCUUUUGUCUGAUCAAAGCAAGUAACAGCCUAGCACUCAUUUGAUAUAAUUUUGCUUUGGUCAAGUGAAGUACAAGAUGAACUGAUAACAAGUUACUUAUGAAUGUAUAAUCAGGGAAUAAUGGCAGAUUCUGGUUUUAUGAAAUAUGAGUCCGUAAGUGGACAUUUGGCUGGUUUGAAGAAUGUGUUGAUAUCUUGGAGAUCUGAGGAUCAAAGAGAAAUGUAUAUCAGCAACAAGGCAUUUAUUAAUAUAUAAUAUAUUGGAGAUUAACAGAAUUCAGCUAGAUGUCUUGUGCCCUGGUAGUUUGUUAUCUGGCACCUUCAAAGACUGAAUGUCAUAACCAAGUUUCUGUUGUUGUAAGUGCCACAAUGAAUCCUUUCAGUUCACAGAGAGCUGUACUCUUCCAUUUUAUCUUUCACAUGGAAAAGCAACAUAAUACAUUUUACUCUUUUUAAGAAAACUUUGCCUGGGAGUUCUAAAAGCCAAAUCCAUGUGAGUUUCUUUUCAAAUGGAUGGAAAGGAGUUUUGAAAGGUGAACUUGAAUUCAGCCUUCCAGCCACUAACAUCAAUGGGUAUUCAGUUACUCCCAAAGCGAUGCACUCUAAUGCAAUUUAACAUUAGGCCCUAGAAUAUCCCACCACUUUGUACCACUAGCUUAAAUAACAUACUGUGUGCUGAUUGUCCCUUCAAAUAGUAAGAUUGUAGCUGCUUGGUUAACACUUUGCCUGUCAGAUUCUCAGAUUCUCAAGUGCAGUUGCUUAUUUCUUGUUUCAGUUUCAGGAAGUACUGAAAAACUAAUAUACUUUGUGAGGGGGAGGCAUCGUGCUGAUGAGUCUUCCUCAGUCAAUAAACAUUUAUUAAGUGAUUACUAUGCACUAGUCAGUAUGCUAAGCCCAGUCUGGACUGGGUCACUGAUAGAGUGCUAGACUGAGUCAAAGAUUCAUAAUGGAGGUUUACAAAAGGGAGAUUUUACCACACUGCCUCAUAUUUGUUUUUUCUUCUGGAUUUUUAGUCUGAGGAGCUAGGUAGCAACUUUGUGGACCUCACUCAAUGCAUAAGCUUUUGUCUUUUUAUUUUAGGACUCAUUUGUAAUCAUUAAGAAGCUUUGAUUCAGAAAUGUCCCCUAAAAUGUAUUAGAAAUAAGUGUAUUUUAAUGGAAGAUUGAACAAAUUCCUAAGCUAGACACAAUACCCAUCCAAGAAUUUCUUAGCUUUUCUGAAGACAAAGUCAGGGAUGAAAACUUUUCACCCAAAAAAAAAAAUUGUCCUCAUUUCAGAAAAUAAAAAUCUAAGAAUUUCUAAUGACAACAAUUGAAUAGGGAAGCAAUGCUAUCUAUGGGGAAUGAGAUAGACGCAUCUUUAGUAAAUAGAAACCAAAGCACAGGAUUUUGAAGAUGAAACACACAUUCGAUAAUGAUCUACUAGACUUUUUGCCAGACCAGAUAAGAGAUUUUUAAAGGAUGAAGUUUUUUCCAAGAUUUGUAUUCCUUUCUUUUAGAGAAGCCAGAAAUUGUGUGUUUAAAAUCCUCUUUACUCUGAUUAUAGUAUAGGCAGAGAAUAAGAUUAAAGGAGAAUGUUUUGGAGCUGGGGUGGGGAUAGAAGGCCUAGGGAAAAGCUUCUCUUGAACCUCUUAGAAAAAAAUUAGAUUUGAAGACAAAUGUAGCUAAAACAUCUGACCUUAAAAACAACUAAAACAACUUCAUUUUAAAAACCUAACCUGUUGAUUAGUUCAUUUCAAAAAAUAAAAGAAAGUAAUGGACUUUCUAAGACAUAAAAUCUCCUCCAUCCUCUUGUCUGGAAGAUUGUUUUCAUCUUUUUCUUUCACUAUCCCAAAACCUAUUUUUGCUUUAUAUAGUGUUUGUUCAAUGCUUGAGUUCUGGUUAACACAAAAUCAUUUAUUUUCUAAACUCUCCGUGUGGGUCUCUGUCUCUCUCUGGUUCUCUAUGUCUAGCUGUAGAUAUAAUUUCUGGGGGGAAAAAAUCCAGAGUAUGCAGAAUAAGAAAUUUGUUAUUUAAUUUAAGAAAUUUUUCCCAAUAAAAGAAUAGAUUUGCAGAUCAUCAACCCACUGGCCACCGAGUGGGAUGGGAGGGAUAUGGGGGAGAAAUAAGUACCUCCUGAGCUCAGAUUAAGUUUAAGGCCCCCUUGGUCCUUUGGCAGAACAGCACUCAUCUUGAGCUCCUUCCCUUAAAUCAUCUCUAAUUGACACUGGCAAAAGAUAUCACAUGCUUGCUUUUCCAGCUAAAGAAAGGGCCCAGCCAUGCAGCUGUCUGCAGAGGCACAAGGGGUUCCAAUCCAUAAAAUAGGGAGAAUCCUCAGAAUCUAGCUGACUGCUGGUCAAACCAGGUGCAUGGUUGGAAAAACUCCAUGGUGAACAAAGGAAAAAGAAAAUACCCAGUGGAAAAGAAUACCGACAUUCUUGCUAAUGAACCUCAAAGUAUCAUUUCUGCAAAGAAUGCAAGGGUUAUUUCAGCUCCCUUGUUGACUAAUUUGUAUGUUCUUCCUACAGAUACUUUCAGAAAAAGACCUAUUGUUUGUUUUGCUCGAUGCUGACACAGUAUCCAUUGUUUUAUAACUGUAAUCACAGCACACAUAGUUGAAAAUGUGGGACUAUGGGAUGGACUGUGUUUCCCCUCUGGUUUUUCAGUACUGAAUACUGUGUCCUUUAUCUUUUAUCAUAGCUCUUUUGUCAAACAUUUUAAUGAUUUUUUUUUCUAGCCACGUCUGUGGCUUGUUACCAAACCUAAAAUGUCAUAGUUCUUUCUUGUCUUUAUUUGAAAACAUUUAAACUUUGCUUUUUAGGACACAUCAUAAGCACAAACGAAUCAUUUUGUUUGAGGUGUGUAUAAAUAAAUAGUUAUAGUUAGGAAUAUGCAGUAAAGAUGAUACUUAUUUUGUAAACAUUCAUCCACAAAUGUGUACAAUCCAAUUGUUCACAUAAACUCUGUGUUCGUAUUUUAACUUCUCUGGAGUUUAGUUGUCUCUCUUGCUUCAUGAGGUCUGCUAUGUUAGAAACAUUUGUCAAGUUUGGGACAGGUGCAGACAUCUGUGGCUUUGUGGAGCACAUGGCUGUCAUAGGAUUAGCUCUUGUGGAAGGGAUUUGACAAACCCCUCUUAGCUCCAGGGAUCUCUUUGCCAACUGUUCUAGGCUUUUUGCUAGUAUCUACUUUAAAAACCUGACUACAAAUGCUAUACAUAAAUGGAACAAGACCUUAUUUCUCUGAUUUGUACUAUUGGUAUGCAGCUUGCUAUAGGCACGUUAAUGAUUUAUUCAGAUGAAAUUUGUAUAAGAAAUAGAAUCAAUAUAUCAUCAGUAUAAUGAACAUGUAAAUUUAGUGCAGUUUUGCAUGAAUAUUCAUUUUUAAUUGUCUGUAGGUGCUACACCCACAAAAGUUUUUAAAUGUUUCCAAAAGAUUAAUUUUAAAAAAAAACAUACAUCGUUGUACUUCUGUUUUAAAAAAUCAGCAUAAGAUUGUCAAAACAUGCUACUGUCAAAUGUGCCUCCACAGAAUUUAUUACUCUGAGGUGGAGAGUGGAGGCUAAAAAUAAUUACCAUGUCUAAAGAAAGAGAUUUUUUUUUUUAAUUUGAAGGGCUGUUGUUUUUAUUUUUUUAAUUAAACUAGAAAUGGAGAUUUAAGGCCAGGGGCAAAGCUCAAAACAGUAUCUCAAUCUUCCUAGUCUUCAUGCCCUUUAUAAAGUCAAAAUUGUAGAAAAUAAACAGAGGCAAUUGACAGCUCUGGAUUUUUCGGACCAGGGAUUAUGGGGAAAGAUACCACUUAAUCAGGAUGUAUGACAUAUUUUAGGAAAACUAUCCUUUUGGCUUCUCUUUCUGCUUUCAUGGAAAAGACUAGUGAGAAUGAUCCUCCAGGUUGUGGCUCUCUGCUUGAACCAGCUUAUUGUAUGACUGUAUGCUCACUUAUAAACUAGUUGAGGCCAGGUAUUAUGCCUUAUCCAAACUUCACAUCUCUCCCCUCCCCAAUCUAACACAGUACUUUGUAUUCAAGAGCUUUAUAAAUAAUUAUAUAUACAAACAUGCUUCCUUCUACACAUACUUAUACACAUACAUAUAUAUAUAUACAAAUAUAAAUGUGUGUGUAUGUUUCUAGACCCAUGAUCUCAAGACCUGAAGUCUUAAGCUUUAAUAGUUUAUGUGGCAUGGUACAGUGCUCUCACCCCAAUUGUAACUGAAAGUUUUAAGUCAAGAUAAAGAAUUUACUGAACUUUAGAAAGAACUUUACCAAGGAACCUUAUAAUUCCUUUUAUAUAAUUUUUCUGCUCAUUUGAUUUUUUAGGGGAAAAGACUAUUAUUAAGUUUUCCUAUUUGUCAAAAUAUUGCAUUUUUAAAUUUACCCCAUAGGAUUUACUAACUGUUUGAAAAGCAAAUAUAUUCAGACACUUUCUUGCUGUGGGACCCUGGAAAAGUCACUUAAUUCCUACAGUCUACCCCUUACUGUCCUUCUGCCUUGAAACCAAAAGGCAAGAGUUUUUGUAAUAAUAAUAAAAGAAGGAAGGAAGGAAGGAAGAAAACUAAAUAUAUUCAAAUCCAGCUCAGAUCAAUAAAAUAUCUCUUCAAAGUCUUUACAAGACAAAUUUAACAACAGAUUGGACCAUCUGUGAAGUGCAUUGCAUUCUUUGUAUAAAUAAGCACUCCUCUUUUUAAAUCAUCAAUCUCAGCAUGCCUUUCUUGAGAAGGAAGAUUCUAUAGCCAUUAGGCCUAAUGGCCUGAAAUCACCUCAUAUACACUGGUUGUUAGUGUAUGAGGCAGCUGAAUUUCAUUUAAAGAGUUCCAUUAAGUCCUCUCCACAUUUUGAAUUUCUCUUUAGUUCUAAAAUAUAAGAGAGGUAGACCACUUGAAACCUAGUCCACUCCCUAAGGCCCUCAAAGAAAUAAAUAACACCAUUAAACCUCAAAACAAAUAAACACUUUCAUCAUAGAUAAUUUUACUAUUCCCAAAGUAAUUUUUCUUUCCUUUAAUUUUUUCUCUUUCUCUUUGUUUCAUUCUUUUUUCUUUUCUUCUCUUCCCUCUACAUUCUUUUUCUUGUCUUUCCUUUUUUUUUCUCCUUCCUUCCUUCCCAAUACUGUCUGAGAACACCCUUCUUACAGAGCCAACUAGCUAUAUGCUGUGUGUUGCCAGUAUGGUAACAGGCACAUGUACCCUACUCAUCAAAUAAAGGUCUUAUGUUUGACAGGGCUCCUAAUUGCCAGCUGUCCUUUCAGAUGGAUUGAGUGUAUCAGGAGUUUACAACAUAUUUGGUAGUCAUAGUGGCAUAUGUGUACAUAUACACAUACACAGAGGGAUGGUAUGUUUUUCAUGUUGGAGUUGCCUAGUUGAUUAAAAAAAACAACAGGAGCUCUCUUUGAAGGACUUAAACAUCUGCCCUCCACUUCACAAGUGUUUUGAAAAUAUCACUAUUAAUCAUGAAGACUAAGGCAUGCAUACUUGAGGAAUCAGGCAGCAAUCUGAAUAAACAAAUAAGAUCAUGUGAUGAAAAAGGAUAGGCGAAGGAGUCAGAGGUCUCUUUAAAUCCUAAUUCUUAAACUAAGAUAAUGAUUAGCUGUUUGAUUGCAUCCAAACAUUGAAUAUCUGAACUUUAGUUUCCUCAUCUGUAAAAUGGGGAUAAUAUUUAUAUUCUUUCUCAACAGAGUUAUUGUCAAGAAAAUGUUUUAUAAAACUUAACUAUAUAAAUGUGAGUUAUUAGCAGGCCACAUGCCAUAUUUGCUUUCCACAGUGCCACAGCUUCUGACUCUGUUCUUCCUUAUGUCUCUUUUCCUCACUCUUUGUUCUUUCCUUUUUAUUACUAUCACUGACCUUGUUAAAAUGUGUACCAGGAAUAUCAUGUAUGCUUUGUUUUCAUAGACCUAUAAAUAGUCAAUAAAAUCAUUUAUUAAAGUUCUACUAUUUGCCAGGUACUAAGUGCUAGGGAUACACAGAAUAAGGCAGAAAGUCUCAGCUCUCAAAAAACUCAGGCUAAUGGAGAUGACAAUAUGCAAAUAACUCUGAACAAAAGUUAUAUAAAGGAUAAUUUGGCAGUAAUCAACAGAGAGAGGGCACUGGAAUUAAGGGGGAAAGGCUUCUUGUGGAUUGAGAGUCAGGCCUAGAGAAAGGAGAUCAUAGGUUCAAAUCUGAGCUCAGACACUACAUAGCUGUGUGACCUUGGGCAAGACACUGAAGCCUCCAUUGCCUAGCCCUUACCACUCUUCUGCCUUGAAACCAAUACACAACAUUAAUUCUAAGACAGAAGGUAAGGGUUUUAAAAAAAAAUUUUUAAAGAAAAAAGAAAAGAAAAACUGAAGGAAUCCAGGGAAACUAGGAGGUAGACAUGGGGAGAACAUUCCAGGCAUGGAAGAUACCCACUGAAAAUGCUCCCCCCCCAGUUGGAAAAUGGGAGUAAGUGCUGAAUGCAGGUGGGGGCACUCUAAGAACACUAGAAAGGUAGAAGGGACAGGAAAGGUUUAUAGAAGAUGCUGAAUGCUGAGCAUAAGAUUUUAUAUUUGAUUUUACAAGUGAUAGGGAGCUACAGAAAUGUAUUGUAUGGGGUGGGGGUUUGACAUGAUUAUACCUAUGCUUUAUGGUCACUUUCACUCCUAAGUGUCAAACGAACUGGAAUAAGGAAAGCUUUGUAGCAGACUAAGCAACCAGCAGGCUACUGCAGUAGUCCAGGUAUGCAGAGAUAAUGACCAGCAUCAAACUGAUGGCUAUGUCAGAGGAGAGAAGGGAGCAUAUACUGGAAUAUUAUAUAGGAAAAAUCUUUAGACCAUGGCAACAGAUUGGAUAUGGGUAAGGUGGUGAGAGUCAGUGAGGUGUCUAUAAAGUAUUACCCCCCAAAAGUGCAGUAUUAUGAGGAACAACUGGUUGGAGUUUUGAUGUCAGAAUACUUUUCCCUGAACUUCUAGGGUCUGUGUUUAUAUGGCUCUGGCCUAAGGUUUCCCAAGGGAACCACUCCCAUCUGGUUAAAAGAAAAUCAAUAAAUAUUUAUUAAGAAUCUACUACUAUAAGCUACAAUGCUAAGCACUGAGGAUACAUAGAAAAAAGCAAAUCACUACCUGCCCUAUAGGACUUUACAUGUAACUGAGGAUAAUAUAACUCAAUACAAAUAAGUAAAUUACAAAGAAGUUGAGGGAAAGGAUUGGGAAUGACAAGAGGCUACACAGAAGAGAGACUCUUGAGAGGAACCUUGAAGGAAAGACAAAAUUCUAAAAGGUAAUGAUGAAGCAGAGGAGUACAUUCUAGAUACAAGGGCUGGCUUGACUGAAUUCAUGAAUGUGGGACAUAGAAUGUCUAGUUUAGGAAACAACUAAUGGUCCAUAACAAACUGAAAUAUCUGUUAAUGAAUGGUAGUAUUAUGAAAUUAAGCUAGAGGAUAGUGGAUAACCAGAUUGUGGAUGGCCUUGUAUGCCUGGCCAAAAAGUUUAUAUUUUAUCAUAUGGGAAGUGACUGAAAAAGACAUAAUUAAACUGAUGACUUAGGAAGAAUGUUUCAGCAAAUGAGUAGAGGAUGGAUUGAAGAGAAGAGGGACUGUGAUGAAAGAGGCAGGAAGAGGACUUAAGAGCAUGGACUAAAGUGUUGGUUGUGUGAAUGGAGAAAUUAUGCAAGUGAAAGAUGUAUAGCCUGGAUCAAUAAGACUUGGCAACUUUUUGGAUAUGGUGAGGACAAAAUGGGCCUGUUAGGAGGAGCAAAGAAUCAAGGAUGAUUGUUGUACCCAAAAUGAUUUUUCACUUGGGGAUAAUUGUGGUUUUUUUCUUCUACUAGUGACAGUUCCAUCACAGAAGGUCUAGACCCAUGAUGGUGAUGGUGAACCUAUGGCACAUGUGCUAAAAAGAGCACACAGAGCCCUCUCCAUGGGCAUGCCUACAGCCGCCAGCCAGAAUUUGUUUCUAGAAAGCCAGAGGGACUCGAGACAGAGCUUGUUCCCUUCCCCCUCUCCAUGCCCCUGGAGACAUUCCUCACUUCAACUACUCCUCUGCCCAGCAGUCCAUUGGGAGUGCUUCCUCUCUCCCCUAUCAGGAGUAAAUUGGGGAUGAGAAUGAUGUGCAGGUGGGAGAGUCACAAUGCUAGGUCUUUACCAUUUCUGGUCUAGACCAAUAUUAGUCCAAAGGACUCCAGAGAUCAAAGAUCAUUUCUGCUGUUCUUUCUUCCCCAAAGCAAAGGAAUCUUUUACCUUUGACUUGCUUAAUAGGUCAUGAAAUCCUGAAAUAUCCCAAGGCAAUGUAGCCUUCUCAGGACCAGGGAUGGUAUGAUACUAACACUACCCAGACCAUUAACUGUCAAAUAAAAAUCUAUAGGAUUGCCUCUCACCCCAAAUCAUUUUAAAUCCAAAGUCUUUGGGAGAAACUAGCUGAAUCACAGUGAGCCAAGUAUUCAUCCAACUUGCUACAUUUGGUUGUAGUCAUCAGGAUAGACUGUAGCAAAAGCUUCUAACACUAUGUCAAUCACAAAAAGCAAAUACCUCAAUAUUUUGCAUGAAUUGGGGGUAUUUAAAUUUUUAGGGAAAAAACACUUCUUAAAAGUCUUGUUUACACAAGUGGAUGAGAUGAAUUGAAAGAAAAAUUAUUGUGGAAAAAUUAUUUCUUUCAUUCAAGGAAAAUGGAGUGUCAUUAAUUAGGUAAGUCUUACAAAAAACAUGGUCAAAACUCAUUGAAUGGUUCUCCUUUAAAUGAAACAUGGGCCUAGGGUCCUACAUGCAUACAUCUAUUUGGCCACAUCAGCACAAAUAAUAAUUUUAAGUUGUGUCAUCUUUAAACAAAAAGAAUAAUCACACAUAUAGCCUGACAGAUUAUAUUAUCUGCAAUGUAAUUCCCCAAAUCUCAACUAGUUGUUUCAAAUAAAUAAAUACGUAAGAACAGUGAUUGUAAAUCAAAUCCUCAUUAGGGAACCUGCUAUAACAGCAUUCCUUUGACUACAAAUUGAAUUUGCUUUCAGAAAGAUGAUAUAUACAAUAUACAACUCUCAAAAUCUUAAAUAUUCAUAUAUUCAAAUGAUUCUGUGAUCUCAUCAAUGUACUUUCUCCAUUGAUGCAUAUUGCAAUUUAUCCAUACCUGGCCAUUCUAAGAGUGAUUUUUCCUUUUUUUCCUAUUUAUCAUCUCAAUAUAAUACUUAGGCUAUCUAUUAGUUAUCCUGGAUUCUCACCAUUUUACCAACCUAUCUUCUUUUCACUCAUAUAUUUCUUUGAUAAUAUCCUUUUGGCUACCAAAUGGCAGCUAGGUAGCACAAUGCUAGACCUGUAGUAAGGAAGACCUGAUCUCAAAAUCGGCUUACACACUUGUUAGCUGUAUAACUCUGAGCAAGUAACUUCUCCACUACUUCUGUUUUCUCAACUGAGAAAUGGGACAAUAAUUAUACUUAUCUCCCAAGAUUGUUGUUAAGAUCAAACAAGAUAAUAUUGGAAAGUACUUAACAUAGUGUCUAGCACAUAGCAGGCACUUAAGUGCUUAUUUCCUUCCUCCUUUCCACAAAAUCUAUUAAAGAACAUAUUUAUUAUAAAUAAGGAAGCACAUUAUGCACUGUCCCAUUUCCACUACCUUGGGUAUGUGUAGCUGAUGUCUUCAGUAGCAACUUCUUUUGAGGUGUGGUUCCAGUCUUAUUCCAUACAAUAUCUUUUUCUCCCCACAAUAAGUUCUUAAUACUACUUCUUUUCCCCCCAAGAGAUAUUAAGACAAUUUUUUGGUAGGGUAUAUAGAACAGAAAUUAAAAGGAUAGCAUUGGUGUAUGAAGCCCUCAUGAUUGGCCUACACUGUCACCACCACCAUGUUCUUCCACUCAUUCUUCCAUAAAUUCCUAUCAUCCAGUUCUGGUCUCCACCAUUGUGUCAAAAUUGCUCCCUUAAUAGUCACAAAUGCCUCCAUAUUGUAUCAUAGUUCCCCAGAUCCUAACUGAAUUUACCAGACAUCAAUAAGUAAGCUUAUACAAUUUAUAAUUUAUCUGCAUAUAAAUGCUCUGCACCUACUAAGUUCUUGGAGGACAAGAACUUUAAUUUUUUUUAUCUUUGAUCCCUUAAAGGCUAGUGUAAUACUUGCCUUAUAAGUAGUAGGAGCUUAAUAAAUGCUUACUAAUUAUAGACAUUGAUUUUUUCUCUAUACUCAGACCUCAUCUAUUGUCAUAGCUUCCUUUACUACAUCUGUGCUAAUGAUUCCUAAAUCAGUAUUUCUAGUCACAUUUUCUCAUCCCAGCUCCUAUCCUGAAUCUACAGCUGCCUACUGAGUGUUUAAUAAAAACAAUAACUAUCAUUUAUAAAGCACUUUAUGGUUUACAAAUAUUUUAUCUUCACAACAACCCUGGGAGAUAGGCACCAUUAUUAUCCCUAUUUGGCAGAUAGAGAAACUAAGGCAUAGAGAUUAAAUAACUUGUCCAAUGUUGCUGACCAAACUGGAACUCAGAUUUUCCUAAUUCCAGACCCAGUGCUGUAUCUUGUGCCACCUGCUUAGCACUUAAAUGUUAGAUCCACUUAAAUAAUCCUGAACUUUCCUAUAUUUCAUCUUCUGCAUCCAGUCAUUGCUACCCACAAAAAAAAAUGUUUUUCUUCUGAAACAGCUUAUAUUCAUCCUUUCACUUCCAUUCCCAGAGCUAGUCAUACUUUAAGUACUUUAUCAGCUUAUGCUUGGAUUGUUGCAAUAACCUCCUACCUGGCCUCCUUGACUCCAUUUGCUUUUCUCUUCUCCAGUCCAUUCUGGAAUCACUUGAUACAUUUACUUCUCUUGUACAUUUCAAGGGGUCUAGCACCCUUUAAUGAGAUACAACUAAUUUAUAAAAGUUAAAAAAAAAACCCUUAGAAAUUGGAAAUCUUUCCUCAAGUGGACUCCAAAUCAAGCUUGGCUAGAGCAUAGAGUGUAUUGAGGAGAGUAAUAUGAGAUAUGGCUGGAAAGUCAGGGUGGUGUCAGAUUAUAGAGGGCCUUAAAUGUCAACUGAAGGAGUUUAAACUGUAAUUUAUUAGGCAAUUAGGAACUAAUGAAGAUGCUACUAAUAUAUUUUAGGCAAAGGAAUGACAUGACUGAAUCCAUGCAUAAAAUUUUAAAAGCAUUAUGCCAAAAACAGUAUAAAGAAUAAGCCAGAAUAUGUAGGAAUUGCUAUUCAUUUUCAAUCCUCUCUUUCCAUAGGCUUUCUGUUUACCUAAAAAUAUACUCAAAUGCCCUAAUAUUGGAAGAAUCUACAUCCAACCCUUAACUCCAUCCUGCUUUUAUCUUAUUUAUUUCCUCCUCUUCAAAACCAAAUUUUUUAAUUGAAUUAAAGAAAUUUAAUCCUGUAUAAUUUCAUUCAGUGAACAUUUUAUUAUGCAUAAGAUACUGUGCUAUGCAUUUGAGAUAAAGAAAUGAAAAUUGGCAGUCCCAGCCUCUAGUCAAAUGGGUGCAGUUCAACAUGGACGCAAAUAUGAUACAAGGUAGACUAGGAUAAGGACAAAGAAGAUUCUGACAAAUGUUGUAAGAAACCUGAGGAUAAUAAGAACUCUUACCUCUAGGGAGAGUAGGAAGAUUUGGAUGUCAAAAAAAGUCUUCAUAAGCAAAGUGAUAAUAAGAGCCCUUACUGCUCUUCUGCCUUAGAACCAAUACACUGUAUUGACUCUAAGAUGAUAUUUUUUAAAAAUGCCAUAUAUAUAUAUGGCAACUUUAUAUCUUAAAUGUUUAUAUAUAAUAGCUUCCUCUUCCAACCAAUUAAAAAUGGAUGUAAUUAAUGAGUGAUUCUGCACACAAAUGAAUUUUCUGUGUGUGUGUGUGAGAGAGAGAGAGAGAGAGAGAAGAGAGAGAGAGAGAGAGAGAGAGAGAGAGAGAGAGAGAGAAGAGAGAGAGAGUGUGUGUGAGAGAAAGAAAGAAAGAAAGAAAGAAAGAAAGAAAGAAAGAAAGAAAGAAAGAAAGAAAGAAAGAAAGAAAGAAAGAAAGAAAGAAAGAAAGAAAGAAAGA
Non-coding RNA from Monodelphis domestica (gray short-tailed opossum), 69725 nucleotides. The record is from RefSeq and is a predicted model, not a curated record. Lineage: Eukaryota; Metazoa; Chordata; Mammalia; Didelphimorphia; Didelphidae.